GGUGGUGGUGGGGGUGGGGGGUUCUCCCGAAGUAGUAUGAACCCUGACCUUGUUUUUCUUGAAUAUCAAGUGUACUUCUGUAUUUCUCAUCUUGGCGUCAGCCGUCAGUUAUUCCAUUUUGAGAAAGACACAAAACAAUGAAUCCUCACAUAGAUCAAUAGAACCUACACAAAUCAAACUUUUUAAUGAAAUUCAUUAUCGUCAUUAAUUACCUGCUGUAGAGUUUGUAUUUGAGUUGUGCACAAAAGGAGAAGAUCAAGUCCACAAGAGAUUCUCGGGUGAGUCAGAGGAUCCAAAGAUCGAGAAAGAAACAAACUUAAAAGCCUAAGCAUGUUUCAAUAUAAGUAAAGCACGUUACACCCAUCUUAGCCCGAAGUAGAAAUGUGUCGUUUUCUCGUAUGCGAGUGUUGAUCAAAACUAGGCUUGCAAUUUUGGCCCGAUUUUGGCUUUUAGUUUAUUCGAUUAUGGAUUCUAAAAUGAUCAGCAAUAUUAUAAAAUUAAUUCAUUUAUUGAUUUGGUUUACUACGACAGUCAGUUUGUGACGUAAGAAAAAAAAGACAAUCAGUCAGUUUGUUUAAUUUAAAAUAAACCAAUUUUAAAAUAUUUCGAACUGAUUUUUUUUUUUACUUUAAAAUACAUAUAUUAACCAAUGAGUUAAAUCUAGAUAAACAAAAGAACUAAGAGCAUGAUUGGUUUUCCCGCUACCAUCCGCAAACGCAGCUUUUGCGAUUGGUAGCGGUUGACAGCGUUUCGAAACAAUCAUACAAACCGCUACAAAUCGCUUCAAACCGCUCCGAACCUCUUAAAAUCAAAAGUUGGUUCCAGCUAGCGUUUGCGGUUGCGGGCGGUUGCGGGAGAAUAAUUUUUUUUUCUUUUUUUUUCAAAAACCAUAUAAAUAUAAAAAUAAAAAUAAAAAUAAAAUUUUUAAAAUGGAAUUAUAAAAAUACUAAAAUAUAUCUAUUAUAUUUUAAUUAAUAUUAUAAAUUUUUAAAAUAAAAAUAUUUUCUAUAAUUUAAAAAAUUUAAAACUAUAACUUUGAAAAUAUAAUUUACAUAUUUAUUAUAAUAUUAUGAUUUUUGAUAUUUUUAUAAUUAUAUAAAAUGUAAAUAUUGUUAAUUUAUUAUUUAACCACUGCUGUAUUUGGUAGUUAACCAGUCAUAAGUAUCCCGCAAACGCACCAAUUUCUAACCGCAGAACCAAUCGUACAAAUCUCUUAAAACCGCUAGAAACCGCAACCACCCGCAUCCGCAAACGCCCGCAGCCGCAACCGCAACAGCUGCGUUUAAACCAGUCAGACCCUAAGUCUGAGAAUUUUACCAAAACCACAACUCUAAAAUUUAAAGAAAACACACAAAAAUUGGUAAAAGACACUCCUCUGAAAGCAAAAAAAAAAUACCAAGCCAACCUAAAACUUAAUUAAAACAAAAGAUACAAUCAAAUGUAACCAAGUAAGAAAGAGAUGCACAAUAUCCACAUAAGUAUAGAACGAGCAGUAUUCGCGGCAGUGCAAAGCUCAAGAGAAGCUUCUUGGCGGACUAACACUCGAACCGGAGAUGCCCUAGGAACCACGAGCAAAACACAAGAGACCUAUAAACCAACAAUAAACCAUAACCGAGAAUCAACCAUUUAACCACCUAAUCUUCAACUUAAAAGGUAUAAAAUAUGAACUAUGCAUCCCGAAAUAAGCCCAGCCUUCCAAGAAUAGUCUAAGAAAGACCAAAGAUGAGAACUAUUUAUUUAACUACUCUAGGGACGGUAGAAUAGGCAACACAAAGAUUAACCAAACUAAAAAGAAGCUAAUCGACGAAAACCAAACCCAAACAAGCAACUAAACCGAAGCUAUCCCAGACCAGCAAAAACAAAUCAAACCCAAGAACAACACCUGAACAAAGAAACUAACCAACCCACAAACACAAAAUUAAACCGAAGAAAAUUCAUAUACUUGCAUGCAAUUAAAGGUGAAGAACUAAGAGAGAACCGCGUUGAGCAAGAGGAACCAAAGAGAUAUAUAUUGCUAACAACCAUCCAUCAGAAACUUUCGGCUCAGAUCUUAGUAGAAUCCUAGCAACAGCGGAAUGCAAACAACACCACGACAACAUUAAAAGCACUACCACCUUUAAAAGCUCUCCCUCUUGAGAAGCCAUGGACCUCUAUAAGUUCAGAGAGAUUCAUAAGAUAAUCGGUAAAAAUCCGGAGAAAUUCGAACAAGAAAAAUGACAAAGAAAGGAAAAAAGCACUAUGGAAGUACAAUGGCUUAGUGAUCAAGAUUUAAAAAGGCUUAGACACUAGGUUUGGGAUUCGAUUGCCAGAAGAUGUAAUUUUUUUGCAGAUUUUAGAAUGCAAGGCUUAUCGGAAGUUGAAUAUCGUAGAUACAUAAACGUUCACCGAUCUAUGUGUUACAGAGAGAACUACAUUGUAGAAUCAUUGUAUGUGAAUGUGUUCAUCAUAUUGUUUUUUGUUGUAGGUACUUUAAUCAUCAAUAAAUAGAUAUAUACAUUAUAUAAUGAUGUAGUUGAUUUCACUAGUGUUAAAGAAGAAAACAAAGCAUAAAAGGCAAAACAGAAAAUAGUACAAGGGUGGCAAGACUAGUGAACCACCAACCACACAAAGCAAAAAAUGACAACCGAAGUAUAUAAGAUGGAUUUUUUUGAGUCAUUUAGAUAAAUAUACAUGAAACAUCUCACAGUUGCAAAAACGUGUAAUACUUUACAUAAUUAGUCGAUAUAUAUAUGCAGCUGGGACAAAUAACGCAUAAGCCCUUCAUUAUCAGUUUUUUUUUACGUAUACCCUAUUUCUAACAGAAAUAAUAAAAGCUAGAUAGGGUCAAAAUUGGAAUAAAUGAAAGUGAGCAGUGUAUAAAUAGUGGCCAGCGUUAGAAAACUAGUUAUGUCUACAUCCAUGUAUAUUCAAUGCAAUUGCUCUUUUUUUUGGUGUAAUAGAUUGUAUCAUGAGCGAUUUGCAACAAAAUUACACAAUAAGUAAUAAAUUUGCAAGGAUGGAGUAAAAGCACAAAAAAACAUGGUUGUCAGUAGCUUUUGUCGGGAGUAUUUUACCAUUUGCCCCUUUCAUCAAACACACUUACUCAUAUAUAUGUAAUAUGCAAGUUAGCUGGAUAUAAUUUCACAUAUAUGGAUCAAUUUAAAAUUAGCUGGAUAUAUAGUUAAUAUGUAAGUUAGCUGGAUAUAAUCUCACUUAUAUGGAUCAUUUUUAAAUUAGCAUUGUUAUAUUCUGAUUUAGCUAUAUAUUUUUCAUGUUAACUGGUAUUUAAUUUAUAUUUACCGGUUAUUAUAUCAAUUGGUGGUGGUUAUUUUUUAUCAAUUCGGAUAAAUAAAAAAUUAACUCUCUAAUAAAUCACAAAACAUAUGAUUAGAUAUAGAUGUCCAGCUAAACAUAGAAUUAAAUCUUUAACAAAUCGCAAUACAUAUGAUUAAAAUGGUUGUUUAGCCAGAUAUACAUACAAAAUUCCCCUGAGAAAUAAAACAAAAAAAUGGUGUGCAAGUGAUCAGCGGAGGAGGAGUCAGUUGGGGAGAUGAUCCUUUCUUCCUGGCUUUGUUAUUCAACCUGCAAAAAUCAUGACCAUGAAAGAAAACAAAAUUAAAACACAAAAUGAUACAAAGAUUAUAUAAACUGCACAUACACAGACAUAGACCUAUACAUACAUAGAUACAUAUAUGUAUAGUUAUUUAGACAAGAACCCAUGAAACUAGAGGAAGAGACAAAGAAAGAGAAGAAACAAAAACACAGAAGAUUUUAUUCGUGUGCUAUUCCAUUAAUACAAAAGAUUGAAGCUUUAAAGAUGGAAAUUGAGAGUACCCAGAAGACAAUACGGAAAGAAGCUUUAAGCUUUUGUCUUUGUCUGAAACCGGAAAAUGAGAUCCUCGAGGAAAAAAAACGGAUGAGCUCAAACAGAUAACUACGAAGCUUUUUUUUUUUUUCAAAAAUGGAUACAAAAUCGAAGCUUUCAUUUUUGCUGUGAAUUUGUAGAGACUAGAGAGAGAGAGGCGAAGUGAACAAAAAGAAAGAAUAAACAUCGAAAAGAGCUUUGCAAAGUUGACGAGGCUAUAGGUAAAAGUUUUAUUAUAGAUAAGAGUUUUAUACAAGAGUAGCAGUGUAAUUAAAAAAAUACACAUCAGCGAAAAAAUGUGCUUUCCUUCCUGUGCAAAUAUGCACUUAGUUUGUUUUGUACAGGGAGUGAGUGCAAUUACUCUUGUAUCAUUCUCAAUUAAUUAAACUAACUAAAAAUAAAUGAAAUUAAUUGAAAUUAGCUAAAACUAUUGGUAUUUUAUCAAAAUGACUCAGAGCUCGACCAAAACUUAACAAAAAUUGAAUGUCUUUAGUUAAACUCAAUAAAAAGAAUUAGAAAAAGAAUAAAUUAAUCCAAAUCAAACCAAACUAGUAUAUUUUUGUGUUUAAUUUUUCAGUUUUCGAAUUGACCAAAAGUAAUGAACGAAACCGCAUAAAUUUCUGAGAACAUUAAAAGAUAAAUGGGAGACAAAGAGCUUGAUAUGUCUAUAAUGUUUUUCCCAAAAGAAAACACUUAAAACCUCGUGUUCAGCCAGCAGUUCCGACGAUUGGUCCCAACUCGAGCUUCUGCUGAGAGAGACAAAAACUCAAAAAAGUUAAAAGACUUAAAAAAUGAACCAGACGCGACGAAAGAGACGACCCGAUCCAUCUCCGCCGCCGCUGAUCUCUCCCCGCGUGAGAAACAUCUUCCUCCUCCUCACUUUCCUUUUCGUCAUCUACAUCCUCUUCUCCUACGGCACUUUCCGCCGCGACCGAUUCUCAUCCCUCGCCCGCUCCCUAUCCGUCUUCCCCACCCAACGCCGCCACUUGCUCUUCUCCAUCGCCGCCUCCCACGGCUCCUGGCUCUCCCGCAGCUCCUACGUCCGCCUCUGGUACUCCCCCGAGUCCACGCGCGCCGUCGUCUUCCUCGAUCGCGGCGGAUUCGACCCCGAUCCAGCUCUCCCCCCUGUAACCGUCUCCGAAGACGUCUCCAGGUUCCCUUACAACUUCCCCGGCGGUCUCCGAUCCGCGAUCCGCGUGGCUCGCGUCGUCAAGGAGGCGGUUGAUCGGGGGGAGGAUAACAAAGACGUGCGGUGGUUCGUUUUCGGGGAUGAUGACACUGUCUUCUUUGUGGAUAAUCUGGUGACGGUUUUGUCCAAGUAUGAUCAUAGGAAGUGGUGGUACGUUGGGAGUAACUCGGAGUUUUAUGAUCAGAACGUGAGGUACUCCUUUGAUAUGGCAUUUGGUGGCGGUGGAUUCGCUAUCAGUGCUUCGCUUGGGAAGGUUCUUGCUAAGGUUUUGGAUUCUUGUUUGAUGAGGUACUCUCACAUGUAUGGUAGUGACUCCAGGAUCUUCUCUUGUGUGGCUGAGCUUGGUGUUGCAUUGACUCACGAGCCUGGGUUUCAUCAGGUAAAACGAGAGUUCUCCUUAAAGUUCCAACUUUAAUGCUGAUUGCUGAACAAGAGAGGUUUCUAAAUUUGGCAACUUUAGCUCAAUUAACAAUGCAUUAGUUUACUUUCUUUAUUUGGUUGAUUUUGGGUAAAUGUAGUUGGUAUGUUUAUUCUUUAAUCUGGACGUUACUAUAGAUUUUGUUGUAACAAUGAUUGAGAUUGUCGAAAAGCUUUGAAUUUGAUUUAUUGGAAUUGACAAGAUGAUAGUUUAUACAGUAACAUCGAUGCGCUGAUUGCUUAACCGGGAGAGGUUUCUAAAUUUGGAAACCUCAGUGAACAAUGCAUUAGCUUACUUUCCUUAUUUGGUUGAUUUUGGAUAAGUGUAGUUAUGUCUGUUUCUUUUUUUUAGUAGCCUGCUACUAAGAGUUAAUCUGAAUCUUACUAUAAAUGUGCUCUUUUUCAUAGAUUGAUGUAAGAGGGAACCUAUUUGGACUGUUAUGUGCACACCCUUUAUCUCCACUGGUAUCACUUCAUCACUUGGACGCAGUUGACCCGUUCUUUCCGAAAACAAACCGGACAGAAUCGGUGGCUCGUCUCAUCAGGGCUGCGAGUUUUGAUUCAGCAAGGAUUUUGCAGCAGAGUGUGUGCUAUGAUUCUUCUAACACAGUGACUGUUUCAGUUGUGUGGGGUUACGCGGUUCAAGUUUACGAAGGCAAUAAACUCCUCCCGGAUCUCCUCACCGUGCAAAAGACCUUUUCUACAUGGAGGAGAGGGUCAGGGGUCCGAAGCAAUUAUAUGUUCAGCACAAGGGAUUAUCCCAGGGACCCAUGUGCGAGACCGCUUGUCUUUUUCUUGGAUGGUUUAGGAUCGGAUGGAACUGGAGGGACAUGGAGUAGCUAUGGCCUCCAUAGUGUCGGAAACUGCCGUAGAGCAGAAGCUGUUGAGGGACUACGGAACAUCCGAGUUCUGUCUCGUAAGCUGGAACUUAAUGGUGAACAGGUAUAGUUUGUAAAUACUCCUAAGCUUCUCAGUAGAGGAUCUUUGAUUUGGCCUGGAUUCACAUUUUUUUAAUUUUCUUUGAAAUAUAAAUGGCAGAUGAAUCCGCCUCGCCGCCAGUGUUGUGACAUCUCAUCGCCUUAUAACAAAUCAAUGGUCAUUAAUAUAAGACAAUGCAUGCCUGAUGAGCUAAUUGCCAUGAACACUUAGUGUUUUUUCUUGGCCAUUAGCUUUCAAGAAUCAGCUAACCAAAGCCUGAGCCUAUGAUUCGUCUGCUAUAAGACCAAUGGCAUAAUUGUAGGUAAGUUUCUUGUUGCUUCAUAGUUUUUGUGUACAACCAUAAUGCUCAAUAGAACUUAAUACCUUUUGUCUCGUAGCCUGUAGGUGGGUCACUUUUAUCUUCCUGUUCAAAUCUGGUCCAUACAUAAACUCCUACAGUUUCCCGACCAAGUUUGUUUCUUUGUAUCUCCCUUUGCAAAACUCCGAAGGAGAAGAAUAAGUCUUAGAUCCUUCCUCUGUAAAUAUGGUUGUGCAGGCGUUGAUGUCACUCGUACUUAGAUUCAAAGUUUUGAGUUUUUUUCUUUUUAAUAUUAUACCGGAGUUACUUUGCUCUUUGAAUGUUAAGCGCUUGUUUGCUCAUCAAUUUUGGAAGGUCUCAUUUUUUCAUACUAAACCUGUGAAUUGAGUUUGCCACUAAGAGAUUUCAAGAGAUCAUUUACUUUGGAAAUUGAGUUUACCAGUGAAGAAUGCGAAAAGUGAUGCCAGGGGAAUGAAGAAGGCUCUGAGAACAACAGCUACAAGAUCCAAAGAGCUUGUCUUUUAGCAUGUGUACAUGAAGCAAAAUCGAACAUAAUCCUCCACUCAAUUUUGUCUUUUAGCAUGUGUAUUACUGCAAUCCUCACAACAGCACCAAAGCAAAAACAAUUACUAAUGGGAUAAACUUAAUCAUAAACACAAUUGAUCAUCACAAAUGCAACUAGCUGAUCAUGACUUUUGAGGAAGACUUAAAGAAACUAUUUGGUCCAUAGCUCUUGAUUGGUGUUUUGUGUUGGUUUAAGUCUUUGAACCAUGUGCACAAGAAAAAAUUUGCACUCCCUCAAAGCCCAAAGCCGGCACUGAUAGGAAGCACAACAGAGAACCGAACUUAUUAAGACUAUUAUCUACGUUUGGGGUUUUGUUGCCUUGGAAGCUCGGUUACGGUCAAAGGAGGUAUUAGAGCGGGAAAAAAAAGAAGAGAAAUAUCGCCUUUCAUCCCCCCAGCCGACUCAGAGAAAGCUUUAGUUUUCGCGGUCAACCCACUAACCCGUGACGGGUCCGUCAACUGCGACAGCCUUAGUUGGGCUCAAACGCGGGCCAAGGCCCGUAAUGCAUCUCUACACGAAACUUCCUGUUUUUGUUGGUGAUGAAGUCAACGGUGGUGGUUAUACAAAAACCUCUUUAGUUCAUGAUCUAACACCAACAUCGAUGUGAUCUUCAUCUUGUCUCUACCAUCUCUAAUGGAUUCUGCUGCGUCUCCUUCAUCCCUUCCAUCCUCUGUGUCUCACAACUGGGAAUAUCGUGUCUUCCCGAGCUUCUGCGAGGAAGAAAUUAGCAGAGGCUUUUUCGGUUACUUCAAGAAAGAGUUUGAAAGAAAGGGAAUCAAACUAUUCAUUGACAGGAGGGAGUCUUUUGGUCCUGGGCUCAUAGAAGCUAUAAGAAGAUCGAGGAUAGCAAUUGUUAUUUUAUCGAAGCACUACGCUUCAUCAACUUUGCGUCUGGACGAGUUAGUGGAGAUCAUGAAAUGCAGGGAAGAGUGUUGGAUCAAUAAAAGGCAUUGGCCUUUAUUAUAUAAUGUGAAUACAAUGACAUUGGGCUUCUGAUGAUUUAAGCCCAAAAAUAUGUCAAGUAAAUGAAUGAUGGCUAUGGGAUUUGUCCCACAUCGGCCAGGAGAAGAGUAAUAGAGAUGUUUAUAUAUUGCCAAGCACUUGGUGUUGGUUAAACAGCUCAGAGGAAGAGAGAGCUCCCCACGCGCGCACCGCCGUUCGGCCGGCUCGGCUCGGCUCGGGCUCGGGUGGAGGGUCUCUGGCCUGAUAAGAACUAUUUUUUUUGGACCAAGUUAAGCUCAAAAAACAGCAUACAAUUUUAUUUAAAACGACAAGUAGUUUGUCUAGAAAAUAAAAACGUCAUGCAUGUUAUCUUCUCGAAAGUUUUAAACGAGAUAAGAGAGAGUCUUGAGGAAGAAGUUUCGGAACUCAACUUCCCUCGAUCUCCGCGAGAUUCUCGCCCACGUGCAGCAGCUGUUGCGGGAAGUGGGUUGUCUCCGUCUCUUUAAAUAUCGCCUCUCAUCUUCAUUCAUUUCUUAACUUUUUUCACAGCAAAAUACCAUCAAAAACUCCUACGCGUAAGUCUAGAGAGUGUUUCGUAGAUUAUUAGUUCGUAGAGGUUCUUCACGAGUACUGCGUGAUAACCUUACAUGGUUUUAUCCUGGGACUCAUAUUCGUACAGAUCCGUCGCACUAACGGAGCGAAUAUUAAGAGUUAAGGAAAGAGAUUCGUCUCGACUCCAUGCCUUCGUUUCCAUUUCGGUUUUGAAUCGUCUAUUUUUUCCUUAACAUCGUAUUUAUAUUAUCGUUUAACUCGAACCGGUUUUACGGCUUCUACAAAGAGUUGGGUCAAAUAGUGGUUCCUUUUUUUUAUGAAGUGGGAGCUGCAGAUGUGAAGAAGCAGAGUGGAUAUUUUGGAUCUGUCUUUGAGAAAGCUUGUGUGGGGAGAUCAGUGGAGGACGUUGAGAAAUGGAAACGAGCUCUGAACGAACUGUCCUUUAUCUUUGGUUAUCUUUCAGGGAACUGGUUAGUCAUUUUGAUUCCUCCUAAAUUUUGUUCACAUGCCAAAGUAUAUGUGCAGAUUAAAAUCUAUCAACACUGCUCUAAUGAUGCGAUCUAGAAGAAUAAUCUAAUCUAUUAAUUUAGGAUCAUAUUUUUAUCUACUUACAAAAUUAGUUAAUAAUAAAUCAACUAUAAAUUUUAUUUUUUUGAUUAUAACAAAAACGGUUGAAAAAAAAUCUAACAAGAUCUUACCAAAAAAUUUAAAUAUUUUUAUAAAAUAACACAUUAGUUAAUUUUGUUAUUUGUAAUAUAAUAUUAUCAUAAAUCAGUGGUAACUAAAAUUUUAUUAUAAAAAAAAAGAAAAUAAAAAUUCUAUACUAUUUUUAUAAUUCUAUAAUUAUAUUUUGUAUUAUAUAAAAAUAGUGUCAUAUGAAUUAAAUAUGAUAAAUUAUAUUAAAUAGGUAAAUUAACAAUUUUUCUAUUUUUAAAUUGUUUCAUUUAAAUAAAUCAUGACUCAUCAUUAAAAUGGGAGAAAAUUCGUAAAAUAUAUAAUAUUUUUAUACAAAAAUAGAUUUAUUAACAUAUGUUAAACUUUUAUGUAUACAACUAUAUAUUAUCUUUUUAUUUAUUUUUAAACUCUCAACAAUAUAUUGUUUAAAAAUGUAUAUACAAAAAUAUAAUAGUGUAUGAUAACCUUUAGUUCAUAUACUAUUUAAAAAAUAGGUUAUUAGAAAACUAUAAAAUUUUAGUAAUUCAUUUAAAAUAUUAAUGAAAAGUCAAAUUUUGACUAUAAAUUUAUGUUUUAUUAUAAUUAUAACAAAAUCUGUUGAGAAAAAUUUAGAAAAUAUUACCAAUUCAAAUAUUUUCUAUAAAAUAAUAUGUUAUUGUAGUAACAAAAAAAUAAAAAUUCAUAUAAUCUUCCAAACUCAAAAAUAGUUGUUUAAUUUUCCAAAGUUUAAUGACAAAAUAUAAAAUUUUAAAAAUAAAUAUUUUAACUCAAAAUGAUAAUUUUUCAAAUUUUAUGAAAGAUAAAAUCAUAGAUGAUAAAGAAUAUUUUUUUAAAUGCACCACGAAAAACCAAACUAUAUAUGUUGUAAAAAUUGAAAGCAAAUAAUUUUAAUUCUUAAUGAAAAAAACAUAAUAUCAUAACAUCCAAAAAAUAUCAUAUAUCAAUAAAAUUUACUAAAAUAAUAGGAUUGCAAUAUUUAAACAAAACAGUGUUUUUAUUUAUAAAUCCCGUAAAAUGCUAAAAAGAUAUAUGUUAAAGUAUAUAUUUUAAACAUAACAUGUAAAUAUAAGUUAUCUUAUACAUAUUUAUUUUCUAAAAUAUAAAUAAUUAAAUUUAAAAAAUUUAUUAUAUGCAAAAUGUAUAAAUUAAAGAAAAAACAUAUUUUAAAGGAGUUUCUCUAUUUGGUUAUUUUAGAUUGUUAUUUUAUGGAGGAAUUACAUGCUUACCACUUUCAUGGUAUUAUUAUUCAUCUUUACCACCACUAAAAGGAUAUUUUCAAAAUACAUUGUUCAUUGAGUGGCAAAAGACUCUUAUAUUCAUGUUCUCUAUAUAUGUAACAAAUAUUUAUUUAAAUAAAUAAAUAAUAUAAAAAUAUUUUUUUAUGUUUCCGAAUUAUAAUUUCUCAAAUUCAAACUUUUGUGUAAUUAAUUUUUUGGAAUUUUUUAAUUUUUUCAGAAUUCUUUUUUGAAAAUUGAAAAUUUAGUUUUAAACUAACUUUUUAAAAAAGAAUUUAUUUUUUAAGUAUUUAUUUAUAUAUUUAUUGGAAUCUUAAAUUUUAUAUUCCAAAAACCCUACCGCACCAUUCAACUUUAAACCUUAAGUCUAGAUUAGUUAAACCUUAGGAGUAUAAAUUUUUUUUACCCUUCAUUAAAAACGAGGGUAAAAGUGGUUAGCGUAAACAUGAAAAGUAGUAAUAUGAAUGUGAUAUUUGUGGUAAUUUCCAUUAUUUUAUUGUACCUAACUAGAAAAUAUAUUAGUAAGUAAUAAAAAUUAAUAACAAAGUAAAAUUUAUUAAACAAAUUAUUAUAUAUUAAUAAUGCCGAAUAAAAAUAUAAAAAAUAAUAUGAAAGAGUUACACAAUAUAUAACACUAAAAUAGAAAUUAUAUAUUUAAAAUAUUUGUAAUAAUAUCAAAUACAUUUAUAAAAUGAAAAAAAAAUCUGCAUGGACAUUCUCAUUAAGAGCACUAGUGUAGUAUAUUAUUUUAUGGAAUGUCUAAAGUAUUUGUUAGUCAAAUAUAUAUUAACAAGUUCUGAUCUCUCCCUUGUUAGGAAAAGUGAGGAUGAUAUGAUGGAAGAAGUUGCAAAUAAUCUUUCAAACAUGUUAAAUAAGGCUGCCCCAUCAACGGAUUUCGAUGGAUUUGUUGGAACGGAGAAUCAUAUCACACAGAUAAGUUCACUGUUGUCAUUAGAUUUCGUUGAUGACGUGAGGAUGGUUGGAAUCUGGGGUCCUGCAGGAAUUGGGAAAACAACCGUAGCCCGAGCCUUAUAUUGGAAACUCUCUAAUAAUUUUGAAGUCACUGAUUUUAUGGAGAGUAUAAGGGGAAGUCCUGAGAACCAUCAUCCGUUCGUUUUGAAUUUACAAGAACAAUAUAGGAAAGUGCUUUUAGUUCUCGAUGAUGUACAUGAUUCAAAGCAGCUAAAAGCCAUGGCUGGCAAUCCUCAGUGGUUUGGCCGCGGAAGCAGGAUUAUCAUCACAACGAAUGAUAAGAAACUUUUGAAGGCACAUGGGAUCGACCAAAUAUACCAUGUGGAAUUUCCAUCAACAUUGGAAGCUCUUGAAAUCUUCUGUCUAUAUGCUUUUGAUCAAAAGUCUCCCUAUGAUGGUUUUGAGGAGCUCUCCAUGGAAAUUACAGGACUUGCCGGCAAUCUUCCUUUGGGUCUAAGUGUUUUUGGUUCAUAUCUACGAGGCAUGUCAAAAGGAGAGUGGAUGCAUGCACUUCCUAGACUUAGGACAAGUCUCGAUGCAAACACUGAGAAAGCAUUAAGGUGCGACUAUGAGACAUUGUGUGAUAAAGAAAAAGCUUUAUUUCUCCAUAUGGCAUGUUUUUUCAAAGGUGAGAGAACAAGCAAUCUGGGAGAGUAUUUUAGCAACUUGGACAUCAGGCGUGGGCUUCAAGUCUUAGCUGAAAAAUCUCUCAUAUCUAUAGACAAUGGGGCACGAUUAGUGAUGCACAAUUUACUAGAACUACUGGGUUUAGAAAUAUCCCGUAAAGAAUACAUAGAUGAGAAUAGGAGACGUGCUCGGGAGAUUGGUGAUGUCCUCGCCGAUGAUACAGUAAGUUUUUACAAUCUCCUCGCCUUGCUCAUUUGAUAAUUCUCUCACAAGUUUCUGUGUAUUGAGAACUUAGAUGUAUUAGAUAUGGAAAGGGUUGUUAUGCCAAUGUCAUUAACCUACUUCUAGCUGAUACACUAGCUAUAUAUUGUAAUAUGUUCGCCUCUAAUAAGACUUACAUUCCACAAUCUAUAUAUUUUGGAUCUUUUUCAGGGAUAUGUAUCUGCUCGAGGCACAGAUCACGUCUUAACUGCAAUCAAGGACGAAAUAAGCAUUGACGAGAGAGCCAAUGAAAGGACACUUGACUCUUUACCGGCUCUUUCUCCUUUGCCUUCCAAUUGUACACACCAUGUCUUUGCUAGUUUUCGCGGGGUAGAUGUUCGUAAAAGUUUCCUCCGUCACAUGCUAAUGGUGCUCAGAAACAAAGGAAUCACCCUAUUCACUGAUAUUGAAAUCGAGACGGGCACAUCGAUUGCUCAUGAACUCAAAGAAGCUAUACACCGAUCGAGGAUCUCAAUUAUCCUAAUAUCAAAUAAGUAUGCUUCUUCAACGUGGUGUCUGGACGAGUAGGUGGAGAUCAUGAAGUGUAGGAAAAAGUUGAGUCAAACAGUGAUUCCCAUUUUUUAUGAAGUGGAACCAUCCGAUGUGAAGUGUCAGAGGGGAUACUUUGGAUCUCUCUUUGAUAAAACUUGUGUGGGGAGAUCAGUGGAAGACGUUGAGAAAUGGAAACGAGCUCUGGACGAAGUGUCCAAUAUCUUUCGUUAUGUUUCAAGGAGCUGGUUAGUCAUUUUUAUGUCUUAAUCAUUUUGGCACGUCAUUGUAUAUUUGUAGUGGCUUUUUUCAUGACUUUCUUUUUGGUUUGAUAUUAUUUUUUUCUAGGGAAAUGGAAGAAAUUAUCGAAAAAGUUGCUAACAAUCUUUCAGACUUGUUAUAUGAGGAUGUACCAUCAGGGGAUUUUGACGGAUUAGUUGGGAUGGAGAAUCAUAUCAUGCAGAUAAGUUCAUUGUUGUCACUAGAUUCCGAUGACGUGAGGAUGGUUGGAAUCUGGGGUCCUUCAGGAAUUGGAAAAACGACCACCGCCCGAGCUUUAUAUAGGAAGCUCUCUAGUAAUUUCACACACACUGCUUUCAUGGAGAGCAUAAAAGCAAUUCGUGAAGAAAUACACACUGACGACCAUGCCUACAUGUUGUAUUUACAAGAAAAACUUUUGUGUCAAACCUUCAACCAUAUGGGUUUGGAGAUACAUCACUUGGGAGUGGCGGAAAAAAGGCUGAAGGAUAAGAAAGUGCUUGUCGUUCUCGAUGAUGUAGAUGAUUUAAAGCAGCUAAAAGCCAUGGCUAAAAAGACUCAGUGGUUUGGCAAUGGAAGCAGGAUUAUCAUCACAACAACUGAUAAGAAACUUUUGAAGGCACAUGGGAUCAAUGAUAUUUACCACGUGGAGUUUCCAUGUGCAUCUGAUGCUCUUGAAAUCCUAUGUCUACAUGCUUUUGGUCAAAAGUCCCCAUAUCUUGGUUUUGAGGAGCUCGCCAUGGAUGUUACACAACUUGCCGGUGAUCUUCCGUUCAGUCCGGUCAUCAAAACUACAACCAUACGACUUGUCCUUGACAUUGCGGUCCAUGGGAACUGGACCAUCAAACAAUUAGAUGUUAACAAUGCGUUUUUGCAGGGUGAGCUUCAAGAAGAAGUCUACAUGAUCCAGCCCCCUGGUUUCAUUGAUCGAGACAGACCAUCACAUGUGUGUAAGCUAAGAAAAGCAAUCUAUGGACUCAAGCAAGCUCCGCGUGCUUGGUACUUGGCAUUGAAACAACAUCUCACUUCCACUGGCUUCACCAACUCUCUCGCGGAUGCGUCUCUGUUCACAAGGAUUGUAAAUGGCAGCUACACUUACAUAUUGAUCUAUGUCGAUGACAUUAUUGUAACUGGAAACGACAAGCAGGUCAUCGAUCAAGUCCUUCAUACGUUUGCGGAUCGCUUCUCCAUCAAGGAUCCGGUUGAUCUUCACUACUUUCUUGGCGUCGAAGCAACAAGAACAACAGAGGGUCUCCACUUAUGUCAGCGUAAAUACAUCAUUGAUCUGCUCAUCAAAACGAAGAUGCACGAUGCUAAACCCGUGACUACCCCAUUACCUACUUCACCGAAACUCACUCUUCAUGGUGGCACUCUUCUCAAAGACUUGACAGAAUACCGGUCAGUUGUCGGGAGUCUUCAGUACCUAGCGUUCACACGCCCAGACAUCUCUUAUGCUGUCAGUAGACUCUCUCAGUUCAUGCACCGCCCCACGACAGAACAUUGGCAAGCAGCGAAGCGCGUCUUACGAUAUCUAGCAGGCACAACAACUCAUGGCAUCCUUCUCUCUCGACGGUCACCUCUCACACUUCAUGGGUUCUCCGACGCAGAUUGGGCUGGUGACACUGAUGACUACAUCUCCACAAAUGCAUACAUCAUCUACCUUGGAUCAAAUCCGGUUUCUUGGUCUUCGAAGAAGCAAAAUGGUGUUGCGAGAUCCUCAACAGAAGCAGAAUACAGGGCUGUUGCGAACACAGCUUCAGAAAUAUGGUGGCUCUGCUCUCUUCUCCAUGAACUUGGCAUCCGCAUUCCGAUAGUCCCUGUGAUCUAUUGUGAUAACAUAGGAGCAACCUAUCUUUGUACUAACCCUGUUUUCCAAUCCAGGAUGAAGCACAUUGCACUUGACUACCACUUCAUACGCCAGCUCAUUCAACUAGGUGCGCUAAGAGUCUCACAUGUCUCCACACACGACCAACUAGCCGACGCCUUGACAAAACCAUUAGCUCGCUCCAAGUUCAAUCAUGCUUGUUCCAAGAUUGGAGUGACUCAAGCCCCUCCAUCUUGCGGGGGUGUAUUAAGGAAACAAGUAUAACUCUAUUUAUGUAAAGGACUUCAUAGUCAUUAGCUUGUACAAAACCCUACAACCCUUGUACCUAUAUAUAACUCUCUGUACAUCUUUGUCUAAUAAUAAGAAUCAUAUUCUAUAAUCUAGAUAAUCCUGAAAUUAAUUCUCAUCAAGGGCACUAGUAUAGUAUAUUAUUUUAUUGGAUGUCUGUAGAGGUAAUAAUUAGCUAAUGUUUGUCAAGUAGAUAUCUUAACAAGUUUUGAUCUCUCCCUUGUUAGGAAAAAUGAAGCAGAAAUGAUCGAAAAUGUUGCUACCGAUAUUUCAAACAAGUUAAAUAUGGCUACGGCGUCAAGAGAUUUCGAUGGAUUAGUUGGGAUGGAGAAUCACAUCACACAGAUAAGUUCAAUGUUGUCAUUAGAUUCCAAUGACGUGAGGAUGGUUGGAAUCUUGGGUCCUGCAGGAAUUGGGAAAACGACCAUCGCCCGAGCCUUAUAUAACAAACUCUCUAAUAGUUUCACACACACUGCUUUUAUGGAGAGUAUAAGGGGAAGUGGUGAGAGAACACACAGUGACGAUUAUGCAUUCAUGUUGCAUUUACAAGAACAAUUUUUGUCUAAAACCUUCAACCACAAGGAUUUGAAGAUACAUCACUUGGGUGUGGCGGAAGAAAGGCUGAAAGACAAGAAAGUGCUUUUAGUUCUCGAUGAUGUAGUUGAUUUGAAGCAGCUAAAAGCCAUGGCUGGCAAUUCUCAGUGGUUUGGCUGCGGAAGCAGGAUUAUCAUGACGACAAAGGCUGCACGUCUUUUAGAAGCACAUGGUAUUGACCAUAUAUACCACGUGGGGCUUCCAUCAUUAGCACAAGCUUAUGAAAUCUUUUGUCUAUAUGCUUUUGGUCAGAAGUUCCCGUAUGAUGGUUAUGAGGACCUCGCCAUGGAAGUUACAGGACUUGCUGGUGAUCUACCUUUGGGUCUACGUGUUUUUGGUUCACAUCUGCGAGGAAUGUCCAAAGAAGAGUGGAUAGAGGCACUUCCUAGACUUAGGACAAGUCUCGAUGGAGACAUUGAAAAGGUUUUAAGGUUCAGCUACGAGGCCUUAUGCGAUAAAGAUAAAGAUUUGUUUCUUCAUAUAGCAUGUUUAUUUGAAGGUGAGAGCAUUAGCUACCUUGAAAAGUGUCUUGCACACAGUGACUUGGAUGUCAGGCACGGUCUUAAGGUCUUGGCUAAUAAUUCUCUCAUAUCUAUAACUGAAGAAGAACGCUUGGUGAUGCAUAAUUUGGUCGAACAACUCGGUAAAGAAAUCGUCCGCCAAGAACACAAAGAUGAACCUGAGAGACGUAAAUUCUUGGUGGAUGCUCGGGAGAUUUGUGACGUGCUUACCGAUAAUACAGUAAGUUUGACAGUCUUUCUUCACCUAUCAUUUGACGCUAAUCGUAUAUAUGUCAUUAACUGCCUUAUGUAACACUGUUUCAGGGCUCUAAAUCUGUUUUGGGUAUAGAUCUCGACAUAAUGGCAAUCAAGGAUGAAUUAUGCAUUGACAAGAGAGCCUUUGAAGGGAUGACUCGACUCCAGUUCUUAAGAUUUAAAAGUCCCUAUGGUUCCGGCAAGAACAACAAGUUGAUCUUGCCCCAGGGUCUGAACAAUCUACCUCGUAAGCUUAGACUCCUAUGUUGGGAUGAGUUUCCUUUGAGAUGUUUGCCUCCUGAUUUUGCUGCUGAGUUUCUAGUCAUCCUUGAGAUGCGGAAUAGCUCUAUUGAGAAGCUUUGGGAAGGAUCUCCUGUAAGUUGUUUUAAAUUAUUUUGUUUUUGGAAAUUAAACAUAUUAUGUGUGUGUUUUAAUUUGUCUACUUGCAUUAUCCAUAUGUACAUCGGCUUCGACACCUCAAGCUGAUGGAUAUGUCUUACUCCUUAAAAUUGAAAGACAUACCUAAUGUGUCAAAUGCCACAAAUCUUGAGACAUUAAUACUCAAUGGUUGUGAAAGUCUGGUGGAGAUUCCUACUUGGUUCAAGAAUCUCUCACGUCUCACACACCUAAAGAUGGUGGGAUGCAAGAAGCUCAAGGAUCUUCCAACCAACAUCAACAUGGAAUCUCUCUAUCACCUAGACCUCAGUCACUGCACACAACUGAAAACAUUUCCAGAAAUUUCCACAAGAAUUGGGUAUCUUGAUCUGGAAAAUACUGGUAUAGAAGAAGUUCCAUCAUCUAUAAGGUCUUGGCCAGAUUUUGCUAAAUUGAGCAUGCGAGGUUGCAAAAGCCUGAGGAUGUUCCCAGAUGUUCUUGACAGUAUGGAAGAGUUGAACUGAGUGAUACCAAAUAAAUUUGUUUGGUCGCGAAAUGGAGGCGUUUGGGACCUCAAUGGGUUUAAGAAUCAUUGUUGACGAAUUAUUUGCAAGGUGGUGGUCACUUUCUACUUCAAUAAUGUCUUCUUAUUUCCUAGCUUUAAGAGGCAUUUGUUACUAUGCCAUGAUCAACAUCAUUGUCAAGAUCGACUCUAGCUGAUUGUAAGAAUAAUGAACUGCCAUAAGUAAAGAAACUGAAACUAUUUCUUUUGGAGACCGAGUCUGCUCAUUAAGAAUGCAAAAAGAGAGGCCACUACGAUGGGAAAAGCAAUGAGAACAAACGCUACAACAGCCAAUGAGUCAUAUUUGUAACCUAAGGCCAUGUUUAUUGCAGGGUUCUUAGGAUGAGGUUAGCGUAAAAUAAGAACUGUUUCUUAACUUUAACUAAGAAAAACUAAGAACCGUCUCUUAAAACUCUUAUUUAAGAACCGGUUCUUAGUUUUUCUUAGUUAAAAGUUAAGAGACGGUUCUUAUAUUACGCUAAAAAUCUCACCCUAAGAUCUCUCUAAUAAACAUGCCCUAAUAAAUCCUCCAAGAAAGUUGAAACUCUCUUCCAAAUACUAUAAUCUCUUUGUCAACAUCUCCGUACUGACAUUCAUUUUUUAAUAGAUAAUUGUAUGUUAAACAAUUAUGACCAAAAUAGCUACAAAUAUUUCACAAUUAUAUUUAGGUUUAAGCUUCUACAUAUUAUUUUUACAAAACACAAUAUUUUUACAUGAAAAGUAUUACAUAUGUAUUUUCUUUUAAUUUCUUGAUACAACUCAACUUUUUAUUAUCCUUAUUACAUCUUAUCUUAUGAUGCCACAAUAAUUUUUAAUUUUGAUGUUGUUGUCGUACACGAGUAUGUGUGAAUAUGAUGAAUAUGUGUUUGUAUGUAUAAGAUAAAUAUAUAAAUAUUAAACAUAUUUUUUUCUAUUGAAAAUAAAAUAGUUGUAUAAAAAUAUAAAAGAAAAACUUAUUAUCAAUAAUUAAUUUCCUUUUUAAAGUCUAAAUAAAAUAAAAAUGUAAAAAUAAUCUUAUUUUUCUUAUAAUUAACUAACUUUACUUUUUAAUAAUUUUGUGUUACAAAAAUAUAAACCAAAAAUAACUUCAAAUAUUUCACCUAAUAUGAUUGUAACAUGUGUUAAUUAAAAAAUUAGAUUGUGAAUAUGUGAAUAAAAACAGUUAUUAUGUGAAAAUAAUUCUUCUUUUCCUAAAAUCCUAAAUAAAAGAGAUUUCUAAAAAAAAAUAUUUUCUAUAUCUUAACCAAUUAAGAUUUUAUUCUUUAAAAAAAAUCAUGAUGAGAGAGAAUUGUAAAAUUUUAUUUAAUAGUAAUUUGUACUUAAAAAUAAUGAUAAACAUGAAAGUAAAAUUUAUUUAAUUAACAAGAAAAUUUGUAAGAAUAUUAGUGAUAUUGAAAAAAAAAGAAUUUUGAAAAUGGCAACUUUUAAAAAUAGUUAAUAUUAACUGGAAAUAAUAAUUUGAUAGAAAUUUAUUUUUGUAAAUCCUAGACAAAAUAAAAUUGUAAAAGAUUAUGGAAUAUUAAUUUUCUUUCCUAAAAUAUAAAAAAUUGUAAAAGAAUAUUUGAUAGUUGUUUUUCUUUUUAAUAUAAAAAAUCCUAAACAGAAGAAAUUUGUAUCAUAUUUUUAAGUACCAACCAAAAGAGAAUUGUAAAAAUUUAUUUGAUAAUAUUUUUAAGAGAGUAUUUGAUGAUGAACAUGAUAUUAAAAAUUAUUUAAUUAAUAAAAGAAGUGUAAAAUUAGUACUGAUACGAAUUGUAAAAAUAGCAAUUUUUUUAUUAAUAAUUAAAAAUAAUUAUUUGAUAGCAAUUUUUUUUCUGAAAUUCUACUGAGAAGAUAAUUGUAAUAAGUUAUAUGAAGUAAUUUUCCUUUUCUAAAAUCAUAAACAAAAUUGUAAAAUAGUAUUUAAUAAUAUUUUUAUUGUAAAUAAAAAACAGAUUUAUAAAAUAUAAUGUUUUUUUUUUUUAAAUCCUAACAAAAUAAAUUUUAAAGACUUAUUUAAUAAAACAUUAAAUUAAUACAUAAGAUCAUGUAUAAUUUUGUCAUUGACUCGAUUGGUGUUUUUGACUUUCAUUUGUAGCCGUUUCAUUUGUACUUAAAAUAUAUUGUAAUUUAUUACUUAGCAAGAAUAAUACAUUUUUCAGCUCAAAAAGAAUAAUACCUUUUUAAUUUAACAAGUUAAUGUUUUUUUUUUGCUAAGGAUGUUAAUAUCAUAAAUGAAAUAAAAGAGUUUUUACAUGAGUAGUGUGGGAAGCGAAAUUCGCACUGUCGAUUUCUGUUUAAAUAAGGAAACAAGGAAAACCCUAAUUUCCCAGAGGACCCGGAUAUCUGCUAAUUACCACACGUCAAGCAAUCAGAACACGAGAAUAACAACGAUAAAGUAUAAGAAAUCGAAAAAGAGAGCAAAGAAGAUCUUAUUCCGAAUUUGCGUAUGAGCGUUUACAACAAGGUAUAAGCCUGGGCUCGAGAGCUGUCGGCGAGAUUCCUAGUUCUAGCAACCCUAAGACGGCUAAACCUAAUUGAGUCGCAGCUCGAAAUAACAAAAACGGAAAAAUGCCUAAAUCGCUCUAAGUGCUAAGUUUGCUCUGAAAAGUCCUCUCUCCAUGCUCCUCGCCUAGGACUCCUUAUAUACUAGCUUCAAGGUCGGUUUACGCUUUUACUCUUCUGCCCUUAAGCCGUCAUAGCGUAAAAAUGGAGAUAUUCUAUUUUUCCCGAUCUUCACAAUUAUCUUCAAAACAUCCGUAUCUAUCCGCGGAAACUUGACAUUUAUCCUUCCUUGUGGACCAAGCGUAAACCGUGCUGUGGUUUAUGGGCUUUUAGUUAAGAAAUCGUAGGAUGGGCCUCGAGUCGUGUUUUAGGUCCCUUUGGGCCGUCUUCCGACUCGACACGUUUACUACGAUUCUUUUGACAAAGAACGAACUUUCCGCGGUUUCUAAUCCGCGAAGUUUGAUCGAUGAGUUAGAAUAGCGGAAAACAUGGACUGAGCUUGCUACGGUCUUCGGGAGAUAGCAUUUGAAGGUUUGACGAGAAUGCAUGGAUUGGUGUCGUAUCGAUGUUCGGAAGAGUUCGAUCGAUACACAGCGACCGAACUUUGGCUCGAGCCCGGUCGCUACGUAGCGACCGAGCUUGGCCAAGCUCGGUCGCUACGUAGCGACCGCACGAGACGAUCGCUCGGUCGCUACGUAGCGACCAAACUUUGGCUCGAGCUCGGUCGCUAUGUAGCGACUGAGUGGGUCGAACGUUCGGUCGCUAUGUAGCGGCCGAUAUCGGCCCGGACUUGGUUGCUACGUAGCGACCGGACGGCGUGUAUGCGCGGUAAUUAUGCAACGACCGAGCUUGGUUCGUUUGGUUUGAAUCUUCAAGGAUAUUUCUUCGUAAAAACUUCGUAUUGGUUAUAUUUUACAAAAGUUAUAUCUUUAUUUUUACUAUCUCUUUCGGAAAUACGAUCUCCGAGGAUUUUCGGGUGGUAAUUCCGUCGUGACCGUUUUUGACCCCAACAAGUAGAAACACUAAUCUAAAAUUGCUUCUCUGGCAAAAAAAGGAAAAACAGAGAGACAAUUAAGUUACAUUUGUGGUGAUGCAAACAUCAGUGGCUCCAAAGAGGUAGAUAAUUGGGGAAUCUUUUCUUCCUGUUUCUUGCAUGGAUGGUGUUGCGAAUGUCCCUGUCUAUGCACUUAAUAAUAGACUCCGGUGGAAUGUGGGUGCUGUUGAAGAGGACAUUGUUUCUCUGUUUCCACAGAUGAUAUAUCGUUGCGUGGACAACCAGACAACGGAGUGUUGCUGGGGCUUGAAGAGUAUCGGAUUUCAACCAUGAGAGCAGCUCCUGCCAGUUACAAAAUAACCUACCAGAAGGUCGUAGCCUUAGAAGUGCCCAUUUCCAGAUGACAACACUAUACUCACAGGUUAAGAGUAAGUGGUCUCUAUCUUCAGGGAAUUGGGAACAAAGACAACAGUGAGUAGGUAUGAGCAUUCCCCAAGAAGCCAGUCUAACCCUUGUGGGCAUCCUGUCAUAAUUUGCAAUCCACAUAUGUAAGGCUUGCUUUGGGACUGCUCCUUUGUACCAUAUCACUUUGACCCAGUCUUUUGUACUUUCCCUUGGUCUGAUUGCAUCCCAUGUGCUCGCUGAAGAGAAUGUCUGCAGCUUAUUCCCAUUAACUAGCCAGUGGUAGGAGUCCGGAUCGGAGGAGACUGAUGGAGGUGUGACCGUUGUCAAGUGGAUAUGUAGCUCUAGUGCACGGUCUGAUCUUGGGUUUGGGAGUCUCCAUCCAUUCACAUUGCAAGCCUUUGAGACUGUUUCUUGUCGGGGCACACAAAUGUCGCGAGGGCCAGUAUCUCCUAGGUACUUUAUGAGAGGACCGAAAGGAGACCAUGGAUCAAACCAGAAGCUUAUGGUUGUUCCAUCUCCCACAGAGGCUCGUAUAUAUCUCUCAGCCAGAUAUUUGAUCUUCAGUAGACACUUCCAGAUCCAAGAGUGAGAAGGUCUUUCCUCAGCUUCCCAGUAGCAGGUAGAUCCUAGAUACUUCCUUUUCAUCCAAGAAGCCCAUAGCGAUGAAGUCUGCGAAAAUAGAAGCCAUGUGUACCUUAAGUACAGAGUUUUAUUCCAUUCAUGGAAACUUCUAAGUCCGAGUCCCCCUUCUGACUUUGGCAAGCAUACCGUGGACCAUUUAACUUUCGCCUGAUAAGCACCCUCCACUGUCCCUGACCAGAGGAAUCUUGAGCAAAGGGAUUCAAUCUUACGUAUACAGCUCUUAGGUAAGACGAAAGUUGUGAUCCAAAAGAUGACAGUCACUGUGAUCACUGAUACUAUCAGCUGUAGCCUUCCUGCAUAAGACAAUUUUUUUACUGCCCAACCCACAAAUCUGCAUCGAAUUUUAUCCAACAGAGGCUCAUAUUCGGAAACUCUCAACUUCCUUGACAUAAGCGGCAAUCCUAAAUACCUCACAGGAAGGGAACCAGUAGUGAAACCAUAACUAGAUAUAGCUGCGGUUUCAACCAGGUUCAGGCCCGCUGUGAAGAGUUGUGUCUUGUUGAAGUUUGUAACUAAACCUGACCAAGAAGCAAAAUCAUCAAGAGUUUCGACAAUUCCAUGAAGUGAGGAGCUGCCACCGUCAAAGAAAACCAUCACGCCGUCCGCAAACAUUAGGUGAGAGAUGGCCAGGUCUUCUGUUUGCGGGUGAUACUUUAUGUAUCCAGAGUCAAAUCUUGCACGGAGUAAUUGUGAAAACACCUCCAUCGCCAAUACAAAUAGAUAAGGUGAAAGUGGAUCACCUUGUCUAAGACCACGAGAGCUUUGAAAAUAACCACUUGAGCUGCCAUUGAUAGAAACUGAGAAAGAGGGUGUGGAGAUACACUCAAUUAUCCAGUCUCUGAACUUUGUCGGUACUCCUAAGGCUUGAAGAGUGGCAAUGAUGAAGUCCCAUCUCAGUGAAUCAAAAGCUUUUCUAAGGUCGACUUUGAGCAUCCCACUCGGUUGGACAUUGUUGCUAUUGUAGCCGUGGAUAAUCUCUGUGGCAAGCAAUACAUUUUCACCCAACAUUCUACCCGGUAGGAAAGCAGACUGGUAAGGAGAAAUGACCUCCACCAAGAUUUUCUUUAACCUUCCUGCCAACAGUUUUGCAAUCACUUUAUAAAGUGUGUUCAGGCAAGAGAUAGGUCUAAAAUCAGUCAUUUUUGAGGCGUUUGGUAUCUUGGGUAUGAGGACUAAAGUAGCUGCAUUCCAUUGCUUUAGAAGCUUUCCUGAAGAGAAGAAUUCGGAGACAGCAGCAGUCACUUCCGGUCCAACAAUGGACCAGCAGGUAGAGAAGAAUUCUGAGGUGAAACCGUCAGCCCCACUGGUUUUGUUCUUAGGGAGAGAGAAGAAGGCUUCACGAAUUUCUUCAGAUGUGAAGUCCCUUGAGAGGCCUGAUUUCUGAGCUUCAUUGCAGCGAAACGGAAUGAGAAGGUCAAUGUCACUCUGCUCAAACAGUUGGUGUGGCACUUCGAGGUUGAGGAACUUCUUAAAGUAAUCUACAGAGUGAUCAGCAAUGUCUUUGGCUGAAUCAUAGCGAUUUCCUUCCUCAUCCAUCAAGUAAUGUAUAUGAUUGAUAGAUUUUCUGGUAUCUGUUAAUCUGUGGUAGUAUGCGGUAUUACUAUCACCCAAGUCCAGCGCUGUGAUUCUUGAUCUUUGCAAAAAAAAAGAUUCCUCAGCUUUAGCCAGGGUCGACCAUUUUCGGUGAGCUUGGUCCUCCUUCUCAGCAUUUCGAACAGAAGGGAAAUUCAUCAGUUGGCUCUGCAUACGAAGGAGUUGCGUAUGUGCCUCGAGCACUCUUUUUUCCAGAUUUGAGUAGUUAUCUCUACUGAAACUUUUGAUCUCAGGUUUAAGGAGUUUCAGCUUCUUUGAAACCCUUAGCAUCUCUGAUCCCGUGACAUUGAAUGUGAACCAAAGCUCUCUGACAACCAUCAAGAAAUUCUGAUUCUGCAGUAUAUAGUUGAAGAACUUGAAUGGUUUCUUACUUGCCUGACUUUCUAGCUGGAGCGAUACACCACAAGACGCAUGAUCCGAGAAGUCAGGUUCACCAAAAUAGGCAAAUGAGGUUGGGAAGCAGUCCAGCCAGGCAGAGUUGACGAGGACGCGAUCAAGUUUCUUGGCCACAGGGUUGGUCUUAGACUUAUUCUACCAAGUAAAAGUGCUACCUCUAAAUGUGAGGUCAGCUAGCUCAGAAUCAAGCAAGCAGUCCCUAAACUGACGUGUGCGCAGAUCGACUCUGGAGUCUAGAUAAUUGGGAAGAUAAUAUUUGGAGUCUUUUUUGGACGCAUAUCAUUGUGAUCAAAUCUUACAAUUUUAAUAUGUCAUAAAUAUACAGCAAAACAAUCCAGAAAUGUUAUCAAAAAGCGUGUUAUUUCAUUAGAACAGCUUAAGAGAGUUAACCAAAUUAACAAAAAGAAAAAAAAAACAGAACAUAAUCUGCGUUUCUGUUAGUCUCACAAGUCACAACGUAAAAACAACUUUCCCUCAAAAAACAAAAAAAAAUAAAAUAAAAAAAUCCUGAAACAGAGCUUCUCUUUUCGUUUGUUGAAAUUUUGUUUGUGGUUGCCGCGAUUGUUAGGCCCUGUAAAAAAAAAGCGUUCAUACGUUGGUCGGAGCCUUUUUGCAUGGCGGUUUGCUUUGGAGGGAGUACGGCAAAGAUAUCAAGGUCUGCAAAUUUAGACGUCGUUGCGAUAUUGGGUGCUUUCCGUGAGAUGAGAAACGGAGGUUAAUGGGGAGAUUGAGAACAGCUUUUCUUGCCGUCUCUCUCGUUUUUCUUGUUUGCGUUUCCGAGGAGAUUAUCUCUCGACGCGGCGCCAACCGCGGCGAGGCUCACGGUGGCGAUGAUGUGGUAAGUUCAUCCUCCUUGCUUCGUUUUCUCGUUUUAGAAACAAAUCAAGAACGCAUGGAGCAAUCUUUUUUUUUUGGCCAAAUACGUAUAUAUGAAGCAAUCUUCAUUUAGGUUUUUAUUUUGUGCAUAUUCAGACAACAUGUUUGUUAUUCCGACCACAAGUUUAUUAUUGACGAACGUGUUAUUUUUCUGAUAGGCAGAACAAACAUGGAUACAUUGUAGAAAAGAAUUGAAAGAUAAGAACAGAGAUUGCCUUAUCUAUAUCCCUCCUCGUGUAGCAGCAGCUAAUGAUACGUACCAGAAACUAUCCGUCUUAACCGGUUGGUUCAGCAACUGGUUUGGACCUCUCCUUGAUUCUACUACAAGCUAUCCAACAAGAAAGCUGAUCGGUAAGCAAAAGAGAAAGAAAAAGAAAAAGAGAAAGAAGUUUAGAGUAUCUGCUCCAAACUUUGCACUUGGUCCUGCACCAGGUUUUGCUCCAGGUCCUUCUCCCCGUUUCGCUCCAGGUCCUGCUCCAACAACUCCUCAGAGUUAUGACCUUGUUGCACCUUCAAGCUCUCCUUCAUAUUCGCCAGCUGAGGCGCCGGAUGAAUCAAGCUUUGGUGGUCCGACUAAGAAGAGAGCAAAGAGUAUUGUUGCUCCUAGUCAAAGUGUUCCAGGUCCUCCUCCUCCUCCACCACCGGAGAAGAAGAAUGAUAUCUUGAUGGAUCUUAUCAUCGCUGUUGCUUCAACCGCUGUGUUAACGUUUUUUCUAGUUGCAUUGCUCUUCUUAUGUUGCUUCAGACGCAACAACCGCAAAAAUGCGGUUGGUCCUAGAAAUGGACCAAGAGAUGAAGGACCACUUCUACAUUUAUCUGAUUUAUCAGCUGGUAAAUGAUGUUUUUUAUUAAAUCAAAACGGUUUCACGUUUUAAUCUUUCAAGAACUAUAACUAACUCUUGUUUUGCUUAUUUUUUUCUUUAGGAUCUAAUGAGAACUCUCCAAAGGUUGCAGCCACGAGUAGGAGAUUCUUCACUGCUACUUCUAAGAAGAGAUCGUUUCUGUCUAGAGUAUCUCUAAAGAGAAACCAUCAUGACUUCCCACCAGCUGAAGCGUCGUCAUCCUCUGGACUUCCUCUUCCUCCUGGAAGAUCAUCAGGAGCUCCUCCUCUUCCUCCUGUGGCUCCACCACCUCCACAGGCUCCACCACCACCUCCUCCUAAAUCUAAACCUCCUCCUCCUGCUCCUCCAAAACUUGUGCGUCCUCCACCUGCACCACCAAAACGUCAAGGACGUAGCUCCUCUGGAGAUGGUUCUGACGUUGAUUCGGAGACCGGAGCUCCGAAAACGAAACUAAAACCGUUUUUCUGGGAUAAAAUGGCUAACCCUGAUCAGAAAAUGGUUUGGCAUGAGAUCAGCGCCGGUUCAUUCCAGUUAAGACUUUAAUUAUAACUUUUAAAACCUUUGUUUCUAGAACUUUGCCUAACUCGCUUUAUGCUUUUUAGGUUCAACGAACAGGAGAUGGAGUCUCUUUUCGGUUACAAUGAUGUGAACAAAAACAAGAAUGGUCAAAGAGGAGAAUCAUCUAGAGACUCUCCUGUUCAAUAUAUACAAAUCAUUGAUCCAAGGAAAGCACAAAACUUAUCUAUUCUUCUCCGAGCUUUGAAUGUAACAAUAGAAGAAGUCGUUGAUGCCAUCAAAGAAGGUAACGAGCUCCCAGUGGAGCUUCUCCAAACAUUGUUGAAGAUGGCUCCAACUUCAGAGGAAGAACUCAAACUUAGACUAUACUCGGGAGAUCUUCAUCUACUUGGCCCUGCGGAGCGAUUCUUGAAAAUUCUUGUUGAUAUACCUUUUGCGUUUAAACGUAUAGAGUCGCUUAUAUUCAUGAUAUCGCUUCAAGAAGAAGUCUCUGGCAUCAAAGAAUCACUCGCAACUCUCGAAGUAAGUCCACAAUUACACAUGACUUGCCUACUAUGUAUUUUAAUUUGAGUAGUGUUUAAAUCUAAAUACAAUUCAAGGCAUUAUUACAUAGAUUUUAGAGUUCACCAACUUUAAAUUAUCUUACAAUUUUAAAAUUUGAUGGAUUGCAAAAUAUUAAUAAUUUAUUUUAAAUCAUUAAUUGAAUAGUAUUCUGUUUUUUUGUUUUUUGUUUUGUUUCAGGUGGCUUGCAAGAAACUUAAAAACAGUAGACUGUUCAUAAAACUACUAGAAGCAGUUCUCAAGACAGGAAACAGAAUGAAUGUCGGAACUUUCCGCGGUGACGCGCAAGCUUUCAAACUCGACACGCUCUUGAAACUCUCUGACGUCAAAGGAACUGAUGGCAAAACUACACUAUUACACUUUGUUGUCCUUGAGAUCAUUCGUUCUGAAGGCGUUCGUGCUCUUCGCCUCCAGAGAUCAAGCAAAAGCUUCUCCAGCGUUAAAACAGACGAUACCAACACAGACACAAGUCCACAGUCUGUUGAACGUUACCGAAGCACUGGACUUCAAGUUGUUUCGGGACUAACCACAGAGCUUGAAGAUGUCAAGAGAGCAGCAAUAAUAGACGCUGAUGGAUUAGCUUCAACACUGAUGAACCUAAGUGGCUCGUUGACCAAUGCGAGGGAGUUUCUGAAGACGAUGGACGAAGAGAGCGAUUUCGAGAAAGCUUUAACUGGGUUCAUAGAACGUGCAGAUGGUGAUAUCAAGUGGUUGAAGGAAGAAGAAGAGAGGAUCAUGGUGUUGGUGAAAAGCUCUGCUGAUUACUUCCAUGGCAAAUCUGCCAAGAACGAAGGGUUGCGUUUGUUUGCUAUAGUGCGUGACUUCUUGAUAAUGUUGGAGAAAGUUUGCAGAGAAGUUAAAGAAACAACGAUGAUGACAUCCAGCAAAAAUCAUUCGAGUAAGAAGGAAACAAAGAUGAUUCCGGAAAGUAAUCAACCGGAUAACAUUCGACGGCAUUUGUUUCCGGCCAUUGCUGAACGGAGAGCUGACAGUUCGGAUGAUUCAGACAGUGACUAGGAUGGAAUAAGCAAAGCAGUUCGUUAUGUUAGUUUUUGUAUUAUGUUGUAUCAUUUCAGUUUCAAGUAAAACACAAACAAAAAAAAGUAACUUACAAUUUGUAUUUAUGUAUAAUUCUGUUUUUGUUUGUGCCCAGCUUUAUAAAAAUAGAUAGAUAGAUGGUAGGAACAAGAACACGAGAGCUUUUGUUACUAAAAGAAGAGAUACAACCUAGUCAAAUGAUUCUCCUCUAUGAAAAUUAUGUGAGCCUAAUCUAACAAGAAUAACAAUGGUAUCCUAACCCAAAGUUAUUGUUAAAUUCUAAAAAUCACAUAUAUGGUAAAAAAGCUAUACAUUAGAAUGAGGGGAAAGCUUGAGAGACUCCUUGCAGUGAAUGAGUAAGAGACUAUUUAUAGUAACUGUGUUGCCUCCCCCUCGCUUUCCUAGAAAAGAGAAAGCUUCUGAAUAAUAGAGGUUUCCUUUCCUUUUUUACCUAACUAUCCCAUGUCGCUUGAAAGACAUGCCUUCUGUUUUUGAGCCACUGCAAUAAUUCUCUAUCUAGUGACGAGUUGUUGACUACAGCAUCGAACAUCGGGCUUCCUAAUACUCCCAAGGUGCUUUUGAACAUCCAUAUUUUGUCCUUUGCCCAUGGCUUUUGAGGUUGCUUUGACUGUACAAAAAUAAGAUAAAAAUUUUAAAAGAUCACUAUCAUGGACAAUGGUGACAAAUGAAUAGCAUUUCGGAAGUGGGUCAAGUAUGAAGAGAUUACCAUCUGUGAAACCAUUGUUUUCACCGUCUUUGGGCCAUAAACACGAUGCUUUGAUGGCUUAUGAGCCUUUGCGUAGAAGGAAGCAACUUCGGGUAAAGAGAGGCAACCUCUGGUUGCUUUCACCAAUGUAAGAUCAGGAUCAGUAUUUGUCUGUUCAUACCAGUAAAUCAGCUGGCCGAGACAAUAGUUCUCGCCAUAUGUUUUCCGGUACUCCUUUAUACCCUCGCCUAACUUGUCCGCAUAUUUGGCCCCCAAAUCUAACGGGCUAAUUUGUACAGGAGAAGACAUAAAUGACUUGUAUUCCUGCCGACCAUAUCAAGACCCAUCUGUCAGUAGAAGUUUAACAAGACUUUGUCUUCUUUUAUCAUCCAAAUCAUACGAAAUAACUUACCCGAACUUUGAAAAAGCACUUUGUAUAGGCAUAUAUGUGAAUCAAAUCAGCUGCAGCAUCAUUCCGACACUUGUAUGUACAAGGUAGAUCUCGGACCUCAUCUCUCAACCUUCAUGGAAGAAAAUAUUCUUUGAUGUAAGUGUACAGUUUCCUAAAAGUACAAUGUUUCAUGCAUAUUGAUGCACUAACCAAAGUAAUGAUCUUUGAAGAUCCUUAAGGACGUCUGCAGAUCCAGAUGGAUCAUGGGCACGAAUCUUGGAUCUGAGUUCAUCAACAAUGCCCUCUUCCACGUGUGGCGAAAGGCACUGAAGGAUCUCCUCAACUAAGGAGCCAUCCCCGUUCCACAAAAAAGAGACUGUUUCUUCAGGAGUAAGCUUCUCCAGCGGAGGAGGAGCGUUCUUUGGAUCCCCAAACACACGUCUCAUAACAUAUCUUACCUGUGUUAUAACACUAAUUAGAGAAACUUCGAUUGGGAAAAAAUAUUUUACAAGCAAUUGCACAAAAAAUUUGAAACGCAACGCAGAUAACACGAUGUUUGGUUAUAUGAUAUGAAGAGAGAUUGCAGUCACCUUGUCAAGUGUGACAGCCAAAUUCUGAAGCCUCUGGUUGUAGACACCCUCAGCCUGUAUCAUCAAAGUUACAGAUAUAAUAAAGCAUAUAAAAGCUGGAGAAAAAAAUCAAAACCCAGCACAGAGUUCCAAAGCACAAAAGACAUGAACUAUUGAAAGAACCCGCAGAAAGGUAAAAAGGAAUGAUGUUCUGACCUGAACCUCAGCAUCACUUUUCUCAACAUCAAGGUGUAUGUCUGAAAAAUAUUUUCUCUUUUCUUCCAUAUUAUGCUUAAGAAUUUCCUCUGGAAGCUUAGUUCUCUCGAAAUUGAUGAACCGCACCUUUAUGCAGAAGAAACUUUCUGUCAGAAGCUGCACUCCCAUCAAUAGUGCUGCUAUAAACUAACAUAAAAUGAUUCAAGACUAACCAGAUGAGCAGAAUACGCAAUCACCCAAUCUGGCAGCCCACCAAGCAUACAACUUCCCAGUCCAGCUCUUCCCAACUCAAGAUAAUCUUCUUCUGAAACUGAAUUCAGUAUACAAGCUUCUAGCAUCAGUCUAUGUCGAUCCAGCAGACCAUGCCAUUCCUUCAACACCUGUUAUAUACAUGGUUCAGAAAAUUAUAUAGACAAUCAAAGGACAAAAGAAAUGCUUUUUAAACUUCGGUACAAAGACACUAAUUACUCAUUAGUGAACAAGCACACCAACCUCUGUCAUUAACCUUGCGUAUCUUAAUACCAGUUAAUAAUCAUAUAUAUGUUAACAUCACAAUUACCUUCUGAAAUGCACCUUCACCAGUGAGAUUCAAGUAGCUGCCUCGGCAUACUUGGCUACCACACAAGCAGACAGAAGCUUCAUAUUCUUCCUUACUCUGUUGCAGACAUAAAUAUCAUUCUUUUAACAGUAGAAUGGGAACAUAAAGAUUAAGAAGAGAGAGGGAAGAACAGACCUCAGUUACAGAAUUAUAAUCAAAAGUUAUCUCCUCGCCGUAUUCAAUCGGACGUACUGAAUAGAUGCCAAUCUGGUAGUGUCCAUCCACCGCAGUAACCCUGGAAGCACCAGUUGGCAAAGACGGAAAAUGAGUAACCCGUUUAAACUUGUUAUUAGGUAGGAAGACACUCAAGUAUCAAGAGUUCUCCCCUCCAUUUUUUAUUUUUUAAAGCAUGGACGCAUAGGUAAAAGGACGAGUAUUGCCUAAUAUGCCUACGAGUAGAGCAGAUAUCAUAAGCAAAUGUUGGUAAGUGUAUCCACAAAAUUUUAUAUCUAAGAAAUUUAUCUGUGUAUGUAUUGAUCUGAGCUUACUUAAGCAGGCUAGUUUAUGCAUGCAACAUGAAUGAAACUAAAUUAUUACAAUGGUCACGUGGUUCUACUCUCUAAACAAAAUUCUGGAAAAUUGGAUGAUUGCGGAAUUUAACUUACUUAGCUUCACAGUUAGGUCGGCAAGAAUGACAAAUUCGACUCGCAUAAUUAGCCUUGUGCAUGGCAUCAACAACAACUAAAUCAUAUCCAUCAGCGUCACCCUGCCAGUAACAUAACAACAUAAAAAAUAAGAAAAUGGUCUAAUAUAAUAUAUACAAGCCCAAUCAUCAUAUUUUCUUCAUACCUUCGGUCUCUCAAGAUAGAUAUUGUAAAACUCUGGUGCAGGAUCAGUUUUGUUUUCCUGCAAGGAACGAAUUCCAUCUUGCUUCUCAAACCACUUCCAAACAGGAUAAACCUACAAUAUCCAAAACAUACGUUCAGAGCUCCCUUCAGAGAAUGUUUCAUAUCCAAGAACAGCACGCCCAGUGAAUUUCAGAAAUUGUGCAGCUGACUAACUACCAAACAUAAAACUGCAAAGCUGCAAACCCACCUCUCCAAGAAAUUCAACAACAAAAUCGUCUUCCACAAAACCACCUUGUUUGUUGCAAACAACACCGAGGCCCUACAAAGGCAAAAAAGUAGCAACAAGAUAGAUUAACAAAAACAGUCCUAAAUAAAUUGAUGGAUUUCUAUGAAAGAAUGACAGAGCUCUAUACCUUCCGAUAAGACACAUAAUUAUCACCAGAACGACUUUCUAUAGCCUUUAAGACGCCUUGACACAUUUUCAUUGUUUGUAUAUCACACUCUUCACGAGCAUUCUCUUUGAGCUCUUCAAUCACAGGUCUUAAAGGGAAUACCAUGGGGGUGUUUCCAGAUCCAGUGAGAAACCUGACUUUCCUGUUCAGGGCACGUAAGACUACAUCUUCUAUAAAUGAAUGUUUAUCCUGCAGUGACCAGUCCAAUUCUCCGGGCAUUGAAUCAAGUAAGAGGUUAUGGGUGUAAGGAUCGAUUCCAUAAACCUCUUGCUCUAAAACCUCGUUGCCAAGAAGCUUUCUUGGUUUAUACUCCUUGACUUCAGGAAGCUCCAUAUCUAACUCUUCAAUGCCAUUUCGUUGUGCAUUCAGCUUCUCAUCAUAGUCCUCUGGCAAAGAAACCCGCAUCUUUCGUUGUACCUCCUCCUCGUCAGCGACAAUCGUGUACUCUUCAAUCAGUUCAUAUUUCCUUGUGACUGGUGGCACAAGACUAGCUUUGGUCAUACGUGCACCCCAUUCACGCUCUUCGGUCACAGAAUCAAAGGAUUCGUCUGCUGUAAAAUAUUUUUCAACACGUGAGUCCUGUGAUCGACCUUCUGAACGGAUAUCCGAUUCGCUUUCUGAAGCUGAGCUGUAAUUGUCAUUGUCAGAUAGCGCGGAAGAUGUUUCACUUCCCGAACCAAAUGAUUUACGAUUCAGUUUAGACAAACGCCUUUUGAUUUCGCGGUCAGAUGCAUAUUCUCCGUAGUCCAGCGCACCAUUUACACCAAAUGUGUCACUCGUCCUGCUCAUGUACUUCUUUUCAGUUACAGAUUUGCUCAACUUCUUGUUGUACUUAGAGGCUGAUGACAACCCUGAGCCAUCUUGCCACGACUUCAUCAAUUCAUCUCUUCUAUAUGAAGAAGUAGCCAUAGAGACCUCUUCUAAACGUGUGGCAAGUUGGAUAAACAGUAUGAUGAUUCGGUUCAUCUCUUUGGAGUCUCCCCGAUUCCUCUCUCUGGAUAUAAGAUAGAAUCAGAAGAAAUUUUACAAAACUAGUAUUAAGGAAAGCAAUAAAAACAGCUCCUACCUUUACUUAAGAACUAGGAGUCUAGGAAUAAAUGUCAAAAACAAGUAAUCCUACAUCCUAACAAACUGAGGGCCAAAAACCAAGCACAUGGGAAGAAAGCGGUUAUUGACUUGAGAAAUUAUAACCUAUAAUCCAGAAAGGACAUCAGCAGUCGUUCAACAUAUUGUUUGGCAAGUAGAAUCUUCAUAGUUACUUAUUUAUAAUUUGCAAGUCAAUAUUUGAAGUAUUAUUGGCAUAAUCAUGUACUAAAGAAGCUACCCAAAGAAAGAGGAAGGGAGCCUUACUUAAUUGCUUCCCUGCACAUCCGGCUGAUAUCCUCCUUGACAGAUUUCAAACCAUGACUAACGUAGUAACCGUUUUUCAUUUUUUCCUCUAUAUGAGCAACCUAGUAACCAAAGACACAUUAGGAUUAACUUUAACAAAUGGUAAAGAAAUAAGAGCAGACAUAAUAUACAGCAUACACGAAUACCAGAAAGCACCUUUAAAUCAAAGAAGUCAAAAGUAUUCUGCUUCAUGAUGCCCCUAAGGCUUGAAGAAAGGAAUUCCUCCACUCUCUUAUACCCGUGUUCUGACUUCUUAAUCGCCCAUCGCCUGAUACGAGCAUCCCUGGAUAGAAUUGCCGAUGAUUUCCGUGCAUCAUACAAUUUUGAGCGUUUGUAUAAGCUUCUUCGGAAUAACUGAUUGGCUGAGUCUCGCUUUUCCACUCGAUCAAAGUAAUCCUUAAGGUUACCAAAAUCAUCUGUAUCUCCUCCUAAUUCCAUAGACUUAUUAACAUUAGUCUGUUUCAAACUCCUUGACCUGGAAUGCAAGUCACCUGGUCCAGGAUGCUGGCAUUUGAGCCAACUUACUUUUCUAUAUUUCAAAGUCAAAUUUCCAAACUGGGAGCAGCCUGUGAUGUCUAUAGAAGAUAUAUGGGGAAAUAAACGAAGAAUUUCCUCAAGCAUGCUGGAAGUCACGUUUGUACAACCAACCAGAAUAAUAGAAUCAAUCUUCUCCGUGUUGUAAGUGUUCUGCAAGAGAAUGUCAUAUCAGAUCAAUUAAAAUACUAAAUUUUCUAAAAUACUGUAAACGAAAAGUACAGAGUGCUCACCAUGAUACUCCAGAGCCUAGAAUCUGUGCAGUUGGGACCCAAAGAAGAUAAGUCAACUUGUCUUGAAAUAUCCUUGUAUGAACUAACAAUGGCCUUCCAGUGUCUACAAGUCAUGGACGCAAAUGCAAGUGAUUUUACAUCAUAUCUCAGCAAAUGAAACACCCGUGCUAACACGUGACCAUCUAACAAAUCCCAGUACAUCCCCACGCUGCCAGAAGAUCCACUUCCUUCAACAUGGAAAGUAGCGUCCCCACAUAAAUCCUCAAAUGUCGACUCAUCCUUCUGAAAUAUUUGUGCAUCUUUCACUUCAGAAUGGUCUCCACUUUCACCAGCCAUCAAUCGAACUCUUUUCGUAUAUGAUGAUGAAUCAAAUUCUGAGGUUUAUGAACCAAAAACAAAAGAGAGAAGAGAACAAAUGUUUAAACAUACGAAAGCAGGAACUGCACAGUGUUAUAACCAGAAGAGAAUGAAGAAACAAAGGAAAUAGCCACCCAAGUUCAGAAACCGAUAAUAACUUGAAGAAAAGCAUGAGCUAAUAAGACGGAUGGGGUGGCAUUUAAGUUCUGGUAGUUAUGCAUACCUGAAUAUGGGUGCAUGUACUUGCCAGUCUCUUUCUUUGGCUGUCUUGCAUGAAUCCAAGAGUCUAAGACAUCGUUUAUGGCAGCAGAAAAUUCCCGAGUCUUGUAUGUUUUCAUAACCAAUUGAUGGAGUUUCCCACGGAAAUAACCAAGAAACUGAGGAUGCAUAGCAUGGAACGAGCUUAGACUUGUGUCCAUUUCAGAAUGCUUGAAAUCCUGCGACUCUGAGACAUCAAGGCUUUGACAAUCUGAAGGCAGAACUGGGGCUUUCCCCUUGCCACUGAUUUCAGAAGUUUUUGUGAUAGAAGUAACAGGUACCCAAAUUUUGUCAGAUUUCCUGAAGACACUAGUGUGGCGCUUUAUUAAACCUUUAGCAACCAAUAUCUGGAGCUCCGAAAAUGGCAAAGGUCCUUGUUCUUGCCCAGAACCAUCCAUGUAGAACCAAUCACCCAAAUGCAAUUGCAAAUCAUCGACUGUAAACAGACGAUCCCCAGGGGUGCUAACAGAUGCGUCAGUUCUCCAAAAUCCCUGCAUAUCUUGACUACCGCAAGCUGAUGACUGAGAAAUACUUUCGACGGAUUCCCUCUUGGAAUCACUAGAUGCAGGGGAUGGACGAGCAUGCCUUGAAGAGAACUUUUCCCCACCACGAACUUUUACAAGGGGAUCAGGAACUGAUGGAACUUGAUCAUUAACGACUAAUGAGUUAAGCCUAACUACAGACAGCACACUAGCUUUUACUCCCCUCGCCUGAUUUCUCUCAUCUACACCAGAAAAAGCCCACAGGGGAAGUUCCAGCCUAGAGCGGCUGCGAGGAUUAUACAAAUCAUCCUUGUGAUGCCAGCGAGGAUCCUCAUACCCAGACUUCUGCAUCAGGCAUAAUGGGAAACCAUCAUUCAGAACCAUUUUCUUUUUGUAAUCUCUAUCUUGAAAAGCUUCAUCGUGUCUUAUCCAGUCCCCGCCUGUGCAAGACCAACGACCUGAAAACCAGCUGCCUAUCUCAUCGCUCUCAGAACAAUCAACAUUUUCUGACUUCGAUUCUUCGAUGGCCAUUGCCUUGGGCUCUGAACGUUCCCACGACUCCUCAUUUAAUAGCAACUGAUUUACCACUUGAUAGUAGCACCAGAUGAUAUCUGCAAAUGCCAGAGUAGAACUUCUAAAUAGUGUCAUGCAAAACAUGUGGAUAAAUUUUUAAAAAAAAAAACAUGUGAAUAAACAAGAAGCUAUGAUUACUAAAAGUUGAUGUCGUCUAAAUGAAUAUCCAUGUUCAUGCACAAACCAUCAUAUGGCAGUAGACGGCCAUUACGUCUUUAACACACAUCAACACUUCCAAAUACUACAAACGAACUAAUAUAAAUAUAGAUGACUAUAUAAUAUCUUAAGUGAAUAUAAACGCUUGUAUCGUUACGUUUUCUGAUAGUAGAAGUAGGCCAAGUUAGGAAUAUAACUUGCCUGAAAGGAGGAGAAGCAAAUAGAGAAAAAAAUCAUAUCAUGCUAUAGAAAAAGUGCAAGUGGUGCCAACGAAACAUACCUUCAGAACUCACAAACCUUCUCGUCUCUUCAAGCUCAACUUUAAUCUGCACAGCUUCUGCAAAGCGAUAAAAAUAAGCCUAUCUUAGGUAUGGCAUAGAAGCCCCAUGGUGCAAUAAACUAAAUGUAUUAAGAAAAAUGCUUCAGAUAUUUGCUAGCAUUUUUGGCUGAAAACAUCAAAUUUCUGGCCGGAAAGAUAAUAUUUUACAUCUACUACAGUACCUCCAAGUGUUUCAAGUUCCCUGCCAGGGAUGAUAGUAUAGCCAUCCAAGAGACUCGCGAUCCUGUUAUCAAACUGGAAAUCUUCAUGAUGGCCCACUACAGUAUCAUUACUAUCUGGUAUGGACAAUGAUUCAGGCAAGGAAUCUUCAGCUCCUUGCUCCAUAUGAACUGCUUUGACAGCAUCUGCAAUAUCUUCUAAUAAAUUACCAGGCGCUUCAGGAGGAUUCACGAGCCGUGUCACAGCAUCUGACACGAUUGAUGGAAUAUUUAUGUUGACCACAGGAGAUGUUGCAUUUUCAAUAGUGACCCACCUAUUAUUAUCUGAAUGUUUAAUCAUAUGGUCAGAGAAAAGAAUGCCUUGCUCCACAAGAGCUUUAAGCUCGGAUAACUUUGCAGGCCCAUGUUCAGUGCCAUAGUAAUCAAGAUAAAACCACUCCCCCAAGGAUGAAUCUGCCGCCAUAGGCUCCUCGUGAGGUGGUGUAUCACAAAUGUCCAUAUCUACCUCCAUCGAUGGCAACUCUUCGGUAGUUGCUUCACCAACUAGCACAGACUCUUUUCCCUUUGCACACGCACUUGGAAUCUUGGAAGAAUCACAUACAGAAUUUUUCUCAGCCACCGGAUUAUUGUUAUUCAAAAUGUUUUUACCUUGCAAUUCUUUUCUUGAUGGAGACGACUCUUUUCCAUUAGAAUCCCUAUGCCUUUGCUUAUUCUCAAGCUCCAUACCAGUCUGAGAAUCCCUCCUCUCCCUAACUCCACUCUUUCUGCUUAUAUCUCUAUGGCCAUUACGUCUGGUACGAUCGCUCUGGGGAUCUUCCAUAUAUUUAGAAGUUCCGUCGCGGCGAUCACCGGACCAUUCAGAGUAACUUGGACUUCUUCUAUAAUCAUGGUGAUGGCUGCGGUCAUGUGGAGACCUUUUACGAGCAUGUGAAGGCUUCUCAAAGAUAUAUGGCGAUCUCUCCCGGGCAUAUGGCGACCUUUCCCGAUUGUGGGAACUUCUAUCCCUGUGGCCAUGGUACCUAGACCGGUCAUGUGGGGACAGAUCAGAUCGUGCAGGGCUGUGUCCAUGUCUGUCUGAAACAGCCCUGGCAGGGAAAUAUGAGUCUUGAUGCUUUUUAGGAUACUUUUCCAGAGAUGAGUGUUUUGAUGAAUAGGAAUCUCUGUAGUCUCUCUCAACAGAGUUCCGUGAAUAGUGGUCUGGGUGAAGAGAGCGGGAACAAUCAUCAGAAAGUUUUCUAUAUUUGGAGCUCCCAUAGUCCCCAUUAUCCGCAUAAAGAUGUUUGCGCUCAAAACUAUCCGGUUCAGCUCCAUGUCGCUUCAGUUUGUUCACAGUAGAAGAGUACUCUUUCCCAAGAUUAUUGGGAUCGUUGUAUUCGUUCUUAUGUAAGCUUUCCUCUAUUACAAUUUUAGAACUGACUCUCGUAGCUCUGUCAUUCCCACUUCUGAACUCUCUCCGGCGAUAGGUAUCCUCAUUCAAAAACCUCCCGCCGGGCGGGGUGCGUUCAUGUUCAUAGUCAUAAUCAUAUUUCCACGUUUUCUCUCUGUCAACUCCAUUCCUACGAGAUCUGUUGUAAGUAUGAUCAUCCUUUACCGUAUCCAUCUUAUGCCAUCUGUCUGGAAUGAACUCCCCCUUCUCAAUUUCAUUACCGGGAUCUCUCCAUGAUCUGAUUUCUCUCUCUUCUUUCCUGUACUUAUCUGCGGGUAAAUCCCUUCUCUCCACAUAAGAUUUAUCAUAUUGCAGGUUACUGCAAUCCCCAGAAAUCUCCCCUUUUUCAAUCUCAUUAUUCCGCAGUGACUUCACUGGAGAAAUCUCACCGGUCUCCAAAUCCCCAUGAGAAUUUAAUGUACCUAAUUCACCCUCUUCCACUUCAUCCUUAAACCCAGAAUCUCCACCGUUUUCUUCUUUAUUGCUACUUUCUCCUCCUUUUCCUUGCAAAAGUUCACUCUUUUUAUCCUGCUCUUUCUUCAGGACCUGUGAUUCUCCAGAAAGUUGCACUACCUGAUCUUUCGGCUGCUCUUCUGCUUGUUUCUGAGGCUGCUUGGGCUUCCUCCUGACAACUUUACGAAUAACCUUAACAAUUUUCUUCUUCUUAGGUGGCUGAGACGCUGAGGGUUUAGCUGGCUGGGACUCCGGAAGCUUAUCACUAGUUGAGAUUGAAGUGUGACCAUUCUCGGGAACCUUGGUAUCAAUGUUGCCUCCACAAAGCGUCUUCUCUGGAAGCUUGUCCAUGAUAUUCAGUAGAGGCAUGCAUGUGGCGACACCCCCAUCGCUCAUGGAAACAAAGCUUUUCUCAAGUCCCGGGGAUAUCAAUACUCAUGCUUCAGAACAUCCACCGCCAAAUUCAAGAACCUGUACACACCCAAGAAGCAAUCAGUGGCGAAAACUGAAUGUAGGGUUCUGCCCAGAGCGAGAAUCUGGAAACCCUACGGAGCCAAAUUGAUGAAAUUAGAGGAGACGAUGAGACGGGAAGACAGCGAAUUGAAGCGGGGAUUAUACCGGGGAGGGUAAGGAAACGUAGCGAAGGGGAUCAAAAAAACCCUAGAAUAGAGCUGGGAGGAAGACGAAGGAACGUGAGAAGGAUGAGAAAUUUCUGGAGAAUAAGAGAUCGAGGUCAAAGAAGACGAAUCGAGAAGGAAACCCUAGAAAGCUCUCGCUAAAUCUUAAUCUGGUUGUUCCCGUUUCGCCGGAAAAUCACCGUUGCGGCGUGUGUUCUUUCUCUCUCUGCGACCUGCGCUUCUCUUCUGAAUCGUUGUGUUCUCUCUCUCUCUCUCUCUCCGUUAUGUUUUCCUGAAAGAAGAAGCCGUCGUGUUAAUAUUUUAUUUUCUGUGUAUUUAUUUAUUUAUUUAUUUUUAUUUUUUAUAUCACCGUUUUCACCUUGACUAAUUUAGUUAUGAAAUUGCUAAUAGUACGAUUUAAUUUAUUGGUCAAAAGUAUAUUAGUAUGCAAUGGUAAAAAUGGUAAUUAAGAAUAGCUGUGAAUUGUAUUUGUAAAAAAUAGGUCCAAACACAUUUUGAAUGAUGUUUUCAUUGUAGUACAACGAGUGAAGUUUUCGUUAAUUUUGUUCUUAUAUAAAUAUUUGUUUUGAAAAAUAAUAAUUUCAUUAUAUGAACUUAACUUAUUAUUGAAUAUAUUAUAUUAUUAUAUAAUGUGCAAUAAGUUAAUAAUCUACUAAAAUAUUAAAUAUAUUUUUUCAACUGUAUGGUUGAUAAAAUCACAAGUUAUUUUCUCAUUCUAAUUCCUUUUAAUACAUUUCUCAAAAUGUUUUACUUAUCAUAUUUCUUCCUCAUAUUUUUUUCUAGUUUUCUUUCAUUGGGUUUUAUAGAAAAAUUCAACAGUAAAAAAUAGAAAAUAAUAUUAAAAUGAUAAUUAAAAGACAAAAUAAUGAAAAUACUUUGAAUAGUAACACUUAUUAAAACACUUCUCAAGAGUUUUUAUCUUUGUCAUUUUUUUUUUGUCACUAAUAUCUUUGUCAUUUAAAUAUGACAAAACAUGUGACUUUUUAGUAUAUUUGUAUAGUAGGCAUGUGAUUUUAUUAGCUUUUGCAUAUUUUAUAUGUGUUAAAAAAAAAAAUUUUUGAUCCAACAUAUUUUUACUGAAAACGAAAAUAUUUUCUUUUUUUCUAAACUGAGAUAAUUAUUUCUAUACUCAUCUUGUUCAUAAAAUUAUUAGUUUAAAACUAAUCUCUUUUUCUUAUUAACUUGAAAAAUAAAAUGAUAAUAUCAGUAACUGAUGAAAAUAAAAUUCCACAUAAUUUAUUUAACAAAGCUAAAAUAAUAUUUAAUGAGAAGCUUUCUGCAAUUAGUAACAAUAAUUUAUUCUGAUCAAAUCUACUAUAUUUAUAUGUCCUUUUAGCAUUCAAAAUUGGAUAAAAAUAUCAGAUCUACCAAAAUUUUAUAUCUUUACAUAUAUCACACUCUCGGGUCCGGAUCUGAAAAUAACAAUCAUACCAAAAACAAAAAUUGUGAAAAUGUUUACAUAUCAAAUUACUUGUUCAUACAUUAUUUACACGUUUUUACAGUUAAUUAACUUUUUCACAUGCGACAAAAUGGCAUAUUGUCAUUUACUCGUAAGACUAGCCCAAAAGUAAGGCGGCCACUUCCAACAUUUUUAGCAAUGAAAAUCCAUUUGGCGCUCAAACCAAACGCUAUGAGCGGUAAGAUUCUCACCGUUAAUAAACGGACAUCUUGACCCAAGACUUUUUUAUUAAACAACGUGGUGCGAAGCUUUGAAGAGAUUCUGAUUUGAUGAGCCAUUAAACACUUGGAACAACCCGUUACUUAUAAUGUGGGCUUUGUAAUGGGGGUCCAUUGGUGAUUGAUUACUCCUACAUUCUCUUAUUGAAGAACUUCUAAAACUUUAUUCCAAAAGCAGAGCAAAAUAAAAGCUUUGACAAAAAGUAACGACCACUCUAGGCUUUCUUAUCACAUCACAAAUAAAAAAUGCAUUUUAUCAUGAUGAAACUGAUUCACGGGAGAAAAAACAACACAAGAAUGCAAAAAUAAAAAGGUCCAGAUUCUAUUCAUGACAGCAUAUAAAUAAACAGAUGGCAUAAAGGUCGUCAAUAUCAUGACAUAACAAGAGUAUUAAUUGAUUCUGAGAUGAUAAUCAUGAUAUCUUCAAAUCCAAGGGAAAAGAAACCAAAUGGUGAACUACAACACUUUGUGGGCAGUUUUCGAGCUUAGGAAGUUUCCCCAGCUCGUUGUGUCACGCCAUUCACUAAAAGCUUAGUAAAGGACUCUGGCGGGUGGACUUGUACUCUCAUUCCCUGAUGUAGUCAGAAAUACCUCAAGCUCUAGCUUCUCAAAUGUCAAGCUUGUACUGUCCAUGGUCUAUACAUGUUUUGUUGUGUUAUUAACAUCUAAUUUUUUUUUUGAAUUAUAAAGAAGUAUCCUGCCUUCGGAAACUAGCUAAAGCCGCAUGUUAACAGUCUACGUUUUCGGCCCACGUGUCGGUCUCAUGUCCAUAGUGAUACCAAAAUUUUAAUUUUCCAAUGGCCUGGACUCGAACCCUAGUGGUUUCACUGUAUUGGGUUUCGCCCUCAGGUUAAUCUAGGCCCGGGCAUUUUACCCGGACCCGAAGACCCGACCCGAAACCGAUCCGAAAAAAUCCGGUCCGGGUAGGAACCGACCCGAUCAAAUUACCCUAUCGGGUCUUGUUGCAGAGGACCCGCGGGUCUUGGACCCGAUCCGACCCAAACGCGAAACCCGAUGGGUACCCGAAUUAAUAAUGUAAAUUAAAUAAAAUGCAUCAAGGGAGAAUCGAAGACGGGUUAUUUGUCAAGAGAACAUGGGGGUCAACCACUAGGAGACAACAAAUUGUUAUUGUAUCUCGCAUAGUUUAGUAUAUAUACACAUUUUAAUAUAAUAAAAACACAAAUUUUGAAUAAAAUUUUGAAUAUUUUAGGAUAUAUAAAUAUUUUCAGAUAUUUUUUUGUAUUUUUAGGUCUUUUUUAGAUCAAACCCGAAUCGAACCCGACCCGAAACCGAACCGUAUCCGAACCGAUAAAUUCUAAUUACCCGAAUGGGUCUAACUAUCUAAGACCCGACCCGACCCGGACCCGGCACGAUCCGAACCGAUCCGGAACCGAGAAUUUGAAAUUACCCUAUCGGAUCCUAAACUCUUAGACCCGAAAGACCCGGACCCGAAAGGACCCGAUCCGAACCCGACCCGGCGACCCGAAUGCCCAGGCCUAGGUUAAUCACCAUUGAACCACAUGCCCCUGUUUAUUAACGUCUAAUUAUGUCUAUUGUCCACUGUUUUCAUGGAUGUCUAAAACACCAUGUUCAAAAAAUAAAAAUAACACUUUUAAUAUAAUAUAAAACAAUAAAAAUAAGACACUUUUUAAUGUGGUGAUCAACAUAUACAUAAACGUUUCGAUCUUUUCUUAGGAGACCCGAGACCGUAAGGUAAGUAAGUAGAAACGUCGAUGGCUGUAUAUAUAUGUUGAUCACCACAUUCUCUGCGACACGAACACUUAGUAACUUGUACGUCUGGAAUCUUAAAAGAAGCCCAAAGGACCAUAAUGUUUUUGUUGUUUUCUACAUAUGAAUGAUUAUAUGAAUGCACUUAUGUAUCAAUAUAUAUGCCUGUUUGACUGACGUAGUAUGGGUGAAGGACACAACACAUGUACACAUUGAGUAAUGACCAUUGCGUAGUGUUUGUCCUUUUAACAAAAUUUAGAUACUUUUUCGCAAGAGGAGCGUAAGGCAGAAUGAAAUGAGAGAAAUAUUUUAUUAAUCAAAUUAAGAAUAUUUUUUAAUAGCAAUAUUAUCAUAUUCAUUGACAAAAAAAUAUUAUAAUAUUUAAGACAACCUUACUUUAUAUAUCUCCCUAAUAUUUACACCACACAAAAAUAAAAUCUAACUCAAACCCAACAGACGGUCGAGUCCUCAAUGCAAGAGUUAUCGAGUAUAGUUUGGGAACAAACAAUACUUAGAUUCACCUCUAUGGUACUAUCAAUUUUCACCUCACCAUUGAUCACCAAUCAAAGUGCUAUAUACAAAUAAUAAAAAAUAUUAAUUUUUCCAAAAAAGUAAAAUAGCUUCGUUAACAUUAACACCAUCAGCAAAACAUUUAACUCUAAACCUUAAAUACUAAAUUUAAAAUAUAAACCCUAAACCUAAAACCUAAGCCUUAUAAACCCUAAACUUUAACGAAAUGAGUUAGCGCCGCCGACGUUAGAGUUUAGGUUUACAGUUUAGAAUUCAGUGUUUAGAAUUUUGUUAACGAUCGACGUUAAUGUCAGCAUUUUUUUAAUUAAUUCUACAUGGUACUUUGAUUGGUGAUAAGAGAUGAGAUAAAUUUGACAGUUUAUUACAAGGGUGAACCCAACCCUAACCAUCAGUUUCGAGAAAUUUUUCCAUUUUGAUUUCAGACGAAGUUAUAUUUUCCCUUAACAAACGUGUGUGUGUGUGUGUGUUUUUGUUGGAAAAAUAAAAAAGUAGCAUCUAAUCUAUUAAUUUAGGGUCCUAAUUUUUAUCUACUAUUUAAAAGUCUUAGCAUGACCAUUUGAUUAAUUAUUUAAUAUGACAUAAUAAUUAUUCCUAGUCUAACAAAUCUGUUGAAAAAAUAUAUAUUUAAAUUUUAUUUUUAAUUAUAACAAAUUUGAUGAGAAAAUAUCUACCCAAAUCUUAUUAAAAGUUUUAAGUAUUUUUUAAAAUCAUACAAUAAUUAAUUUUGUAAUUAGUAAUAUAAUAUGAUUAUACAUUACUAUUAAUUAUUUUUUUAUUAUAAAACAAAAAAAUAAAAUUAUUUCCUAUUUUUAUAAAUUUUAUAAUGUAUUAUAUAAAAUAGAAGUACUAUAUGAAUAAAUAAAUAAAACUAUAUAAAAUUGGUAAAUUAAACUAUUUUAUUUUAAAAUUCUUUCAUUUAAAUAAAUAAAAUAAACUAUCAUUUCUUUCAUUUAAAUAAAUAAAAUAAACUAUUAUUCACCGUUAAAAAGGGUUAAAAUUCAUAAAGUAUGUAUAUUUUAUACAAAGAAUAUUAUCAUAUGUUAAACUUUUAUAUCUACAACUAUAUAUUAUUUAAUUAAUUUGAAACUCACAACAAUAUAUUAUCUAAAAUGAUUAUAUACAAAAUAUAAUAGUCAUAGCAAACUUUUAGUUCAUGCGUUAUUUACAAAAUAGGAUAUCAGAAAAAAAUAAUAAUUCAAAAGAUAUUAAUCAAAAGUCUAUUUUAACUACAAAUUUAUUGAGAGUGGUCUUUUUUAUAUAUUUUAUGUUGUGGCACCUACUGAUAUCUCUAUGUUUUUCAUUACAAGUAUGGUUUAUUGCGUGUUUUUUUAUCAUUCCACAAUGGUGUCUAAAACAAAGUAAAAAAUAUAAAACAAAUGAUUAUAUAUUAAUAAUGAUGAAUAAAAAACCUAAACAAUAUAAUUAUAUACUUACACAAUAUAUAACACUAAAAAAUCAUAUAUUUAAAAUGUUUAUGAUAAUGUUAAAUGUAUACAUUUAUAAAAUAAAAAUAUAUCCGCACGAACGUGCAGGUCAAAUUCUAGUUUUGGAUAAACGGCAGCUGUUUACGGUUUUAGCAUUACCGAUAUAACUGUUAAGAUUAGGAAUCCGAUCUUAGUAGAUAAAAAGGUUUUUAUAAAGGUAAAAAAAAUAUCAGAUUUCUUAAGCUGUAAAGAUACAAAUCUAAGAAAUUGUAAAAUAUUCAUUCAUACAAUCAAUAUAUGUACAAACCAUAAACCAAAUAUUUAGCAACUGAGUUUCUCUCUAGUUCUUUUGAUUUCGACGAGAUUGUUUUACCUUUGUUCUCAACAUUUUACUAGCCUUAACAUUUUUCUUUAGCUUUGUAGUUGAAAAGUUUAAAAGACAUAUGUUGAUAUUGAAUGACUCUUUCAUUACACUCCCCUUAAAAUUUAAAAUUCAAAUAGCAUUAUUCAAACAAUCACCUUACAAUUACAUAAAGUUUUCUUUUUAACUUAGAUCAAUAACAAAAAAUAAAUCCUUCUUAAUCCAUGUUUCCCCAAUCGUAAAACAUCAGAAGAACCUAGAUCUUGAGAUCUCACCAUUUUUCACUGUAUCAAAAGAAACACAAAGAGAUCAAGCCAAGAGAGAAGUCUUUUUCUGUGGAGCAGGACACUUGAAGUCACGAGGUGGAGUCUUGCCACAGUCGACGAGAAGCUCAAGAGCAAUGGGAAUAAUGAGGUCGAUGUUGAGAAGCUUCGCUCUAAUGGUGGUGCAAAGACAGACCGCUGCGUCAAGACCCACUAAACCGCCAAGAACUGGGCAACAAGUUGCCUUUGCAUAGCUUUUUCCUAGUCCGAUGUGAAUCAAGCCGCCAAGCACGUCCACACACGCGCCUAGCUUCAGUGCGUCGAUGGAGCACGUCUCCGGUUCAGGCGUUGGUGCCGGAGGUGGAGGAGGACACGGAGUUGGUGGAGGAGGCGGUGGCGGACAUGGCGUCUCUGGGGUUGGAGUUGGCGGUGGUGGCGGGGUUACGACUGGUGGGGUUGGAGUUGGCGGUGGAGGAGAAGGCGUAGGAGAUGGAGUGUACGGAGGUGGUGGCUUGACGGUGGGCGGUUUUGGAGUGUAAGGUGGAGGGGAUGGAGUGUACGGAGCUGGAGGCUUGACGGUGGGCGGCUUUGGGGUGUGAUGAGGUGGCUUGACGGUGGGUGGUUUGGGAGUGUGAGGAGGUAGUUUUGGGGUGUGAUGAGGUGGCUUAACGGUGGGUGGUUUUGGAGUGUGAUGAGGUGGUUUUGGAGUGUGAUGAGGUGGUUUGACGGCGGGUGGUUUUGGAGUGUGUUGUGGUGGCUUGACAGUGGGUGGUUUAGGCGGUUUAAUGGGAUGUUUGGGAGGUUUAACGGGGUGUGGAGAUGAUUUUGGAGGGUCACUGCAGUCACAAGCGUAAGAGACGGCGCAGAAACCAAGGAGGAGAAGUAUCAAAAAGGAGAG
RNAcentral lists this long non-coding RNA (45608 nucleotides) under Brassica rapa (field mustard). RNAcentral's name for it is "long non-coding RNA (BRAP_LNC000273)". The stretch from base 18016 to 18139 matches the Rfam family "MIR9563 microRNA precursor family". The record is from RNAcentral. Lineage: Eukaryota; Viridiplantae; Streptophyta; Magnoliopsida; Brassicales; Brassicaceae.